GAAGUCUCCCCCCUGGCACAUGAAUCCGGGGAUCACACGGUGGAAGGACGAGCCCUUGUAGUGGAGUGGCUUGCCGGACUUGCCGAUGCCUUUCUCGCCGGUGCAGAGGGCGCGGAAGUUCUCGGCGGUUCGGGGGGUGACGUCGGCGAAGAGUUCCAUCACGAUCCGGCCGGCCGGCUGACCGCCGACGGUCACGUCGAAGAACACUUUGGGGUUUGCCAUUUUUGAUUGGUUGAUUGGUUGAUUGGAGAGAAAAAAACAAACUAAACACGGAUUUCUGAUUUGGUGAUUUUUGGGCGAAUUUUUUAGGGUUUUGGGGCAGUUAAAUACGGGAUGGAGCGGUGGGGGAGUAACAAAAAGUGAAUCUGGACCGUUGAGGGGGAACACGUGGAGGGAUAUCGUGGGGCGGGGUGGAAGUAACUGAGGUUGAGUUAAGGUUGACUAGAGUUAUGUGAGGGAUCCCAGGCUGAGGUAAGGGUGUUCGCGGAUCGGAUUUUACGGAUUAGACAUCAAUUCAUAUCCGAUCAACAAUGUUACGGAUUAUAAUUUUUCAAUUCAAUCAAAUUCACGGAUUGAUUAAACUCAAUUCAAAUCCAAUCCAUACAUUUGCGAAUCGGAUGUAGAUUUGACUCAAUCCAUAUCCAAUCUAUACGUCUGCGGAUCAGAUGCGGAUUUAAUUUAAUUCAUAUCUAAUCUACCUUUAGCACAUUAGUUUUCGAAUUUAAAAUUUUUAGUUCUCCUCAAUCCAUGAACUAAUGAAAUUAAAAAAAAAUCUAAUAUAAAAUAAUUUUACUACCAAUUAAAUUUAAAAUUAAAUAAAAUUUAAACAAAUUAAUUGUUUAAAUAAAACUAAAAUAAUACGUUUAAAGUUUCAAAAUAUAAUACACUAAGAUUAAUUAUUCAAAUAAAGUUACAAUAAUACAUUAAUAUAACACCGAAAUUAAUUGUUCAAAUAAAGCCACAAUUAAUUGAAAUGGCGAAAUUUUUUAAACCAAACACAGUUUGAUCCUUCACCAUGGCUAUUGCACUUGUCAAAAAGUGGUGAUUACAGAGCCGUCAAUGAUGGGAACCAGGAGAAGUACGGGUGGCGAUCUUGAAGGUUGUGAUAGUGCAAUUGUUUGGCUGGAACCAGUGAUUGGGAAGUGGCUCGAUGGACUCAGGGAAGAAGAUGGCUUGCUCUCGCUAGAAUCACGCGAUUGACGUCCUUCAAAUUGGUGUCGAUAGUGUAUCGAACCAGUAUUAGGUGUUGCUAGUGCGUGUGACGACGGGAAAGUUUAAGGUUUUUUGUUUGCAAAUUAUUGGUGACUGGGCGCAAUGCGAAUCCCACAAUGAAACUUUCAAACCCACACUUAAUUUGUAGUUUCAACUUCCUAGGAAAGUUCUAAAUAGAUUUAACACAAACAAAAUCUUGACCCAAUGCAUAAGAAAACAUGAACCAAAGGUAUAGAGAAUGAUAUUGACGCCACACUUAAGAAAUAGAUGAGAAGGUGAGUGAUAAGUCUAAAUUUGGAACGCCAUAAGAAUGCAAAUUCUUGAUAAGUUCACUAGUUCUCAAAAGAACGAAAGAAAGAAUAAUCUUUCAAAUUCAACUAACAUUAAUCUCUAAUUCCAUUACAUAGUAAGGUUGCUGAGUUUAAAUAAUCUAAAAGAAACCCAAGAUCCUAAAAAUACAAAUGGAAACAUUGGAACAACCCUCCAAGUAAGUUUGUCAAAGGAUGCUUCAAAAGUCUUCACCAACCCACCAUAAUUAAUGUUAUCUUUGACAAAUUUAAUGCUAGCCUACUAUAAUUAAUGCUAUCAUUGACAAAUUUAAUGUUAGCCCACCAUCAUUUAUGGUAGACUUACCUUACACAUUGACAAACUUUUGACAAACUUGAAACAAAAUAAAGAAAUGUAGUUGAAAAACAAAUGAGUCGUUGAAAAUCUCAAGUCUGAAUAAACUUUAAUGAAUUUGUCAUAACUCCUUUUAGAGAACUCCAAAUCUAGCUCUGUAAAAUGCAUUGGAAAGCUAACUUAAUUAUUUUUCCAAUGGUAUAUAGCUUGCACAUUACUUCUGCCUCAAUCAAUACCAGUUUUAUUCCGAAUUUGACCUUUUUGCAUUUGAUACAAAUUGUGUAUUUGGCUGCCCAAUAACUUGAAUAAUGCCUACAAUGCCUUGUCUUCUCUUCAAGCCCAAUUCAUAAUGUCUUGCAUCUUGAAUUUUAUUUUCAAUCCAUAUUUUCUCAAUUAAUCCAUUUAAAGCGAUUUGCAUCUUUUUGGCUCUAACCCUUGUAAUUGGGUCUCCAUGAAUGUGCAAAUGAUCACUUGAAACUUUAAUGGUAUUCCCUUGAUGGUUCUCAUCAUGGCGUUAUGUUACUUUACUUUUGGGUGAUUUUACAAAUUGUUGGUAACUUGCCAUUAUGUUACUUUGAUGUUGCUAGUGCGUGUGACUUUGCUUUUUAUUUUGUUUUCUAAUUUUUAUAAGUUAUAUUGUAUAUUUGAUUUUUUAAUUAUUUUUUAUUUAAUAUUAUUAUUGGGUAAUGGCUAAGAUAUGUUAUAGUGCUUAUGUAACUAUGUAAUGUUACAUUUAUAAUACUAUUUAAUUAAAUUUAUAAUAAUUUUUUAACUAAAUAUAUAUAUAGAUAUAUAUAUAUAUAUAUAUAUAUGACAAUUAUUUACAAUGCUUUAUUGGAGAGAAACUUCCAAAGCAGUCGUCUGGUAUAGAAGUACUAGGCUCUGAUACCAGAAGGAAAUAGGAUCGAAGGAUGAAUGUGUUUUAAGAAAGAAAUUAUAAACAAAGAAAUCAAUUCGCGAUUGAGUAGAUUUUAUUAAGAGUACGUGGCGUUGUGACCAUAUCGAUGCAGAACUUAAUCUGCCUUCGUGACCAGAUCUGACUUAGAACAUAUCAAUAUCACGCACGUUCUGUUUUCCAGCCGAUAUACUAUGUUUCUUUACCAGAUAUGAAUUAGGUUCUUUAAACAAGCCUAGCAACAGAUCUAGAGGCUCAUAUAUCGUACUAGAUCUGGAUCCCAGAAAAAGCACUCUGAAUGAAUGGAGGGAGAAGAGAAGAUACAACUGAGGAUAGAGAUCAGGUCUCGUUGCCUAAGAGGAACGUAGCAGUUUUAUGGCAGAGCUGAUACAGAUCAGUCUGCAAAAUAUGCAUAAAAUUUAAAUUACUGAAAUUUAAAUGCUUUAAAGUAAAUUGCGGAAAUUAAAAUGCAGAACUUUAAAUUUACAUCAAAGCUUUAAAUAAAAAUUUAAAGAACGAAUUAAACAUACAUGUUUGCUUUAUUUCUUUGAACUCAACCCUUUGUACAAUUUUACAGAUCUCUUCAAGAAGAAAGAUUGAAAGAUGGGAAGAUUACAAGACAGGAAAGGUUUCCUUGAUGUCUUGAUCCAGACUUCCCAAGAGAGAGAGAGAGAGAGAGAGAGAGGGAGAAGAAGAAGAGAAAGAAAAUUAGAUCUGAAAAAUCUGAGGAGUCUAAGUCUUCCUCUCGAUUUAAAUACAAAAAUAUUUUUUUUUAACUGUAGCGGGCCUGUAGCUUCUCUACUGUAGCGGAGCUUGCUUGAAACAGUAAUCUUUGGAACAUACAGUAUUUUCUAAUUUUAAUUCGGGUGAAGAGACAUGUGCGCUCUCACUUGUGUCCAGGGGACCACCCGAGGGUACAAACAAACGAACAAAAAUGGAAAAUACAAGGAAAAAUACUGGAAUACUCUUUUUUUUUCUUUUUUUUUUAAACAUACAUAACAAUUAUUUACAAUGCUUUAUUAGAGAGAAAAUUCCAAAGCAGUCGUCUUCAUUUUCAUCUCCAAGAGAGAUAAAGGGCUCUUCAUCUUGAUCAUCAUCCGAGGAGUCUGCAACUGAGGAUUUUGAUCUUGAAGUGAGGAGCUGCUCCAUGACUUUAAAAUAUUCUUCUUCAGAUUUGGCACUGGCCAACAGAGAUUGGGCUUUGGAUUUUUGGGUUAGAAAGGUCUCUUGGGCUUUCACGGCUUUAAUAGAUGGGGGUAAGAAGCCUUUAGAACAGAGCCAAUUGCGGAUCAGGGUGUCUGUCAAUUUAGACUGUUCGUCAAACUUUGACCACCAUUUUACUUUGAAUGUCCUUUGUAAGAUGAGCUGGGCAUCUUGGGUAUGAAAUCUGAGGUUCCACAUCCAUACCCAUGGAAGGAAGAAAUUUGUACAGAAACAGAGAAAUGGGGGAACCCUUUUCUCAGAUUCAGAAGGAAUAUAGUGGGCUUUAAAGAGGUUUAAACAAUGGGUGGCAUUUGGAGUUAGGAUCUGAGGGAUUGGGCCAAAAGAAUUCCACCAAUGUUGAAACCAGUUUGGGAGGCUUUGAACAAUUAUUUUUGAAUUGAAGAAAAAUAACCAAGAGUGAGAUUUUUUGGGGUUUUGGAUAAAAAAUGUGUUAUACCAGGCUUGUUGGUAAUCCCAAUAGGAAUAAGUCAAACAAUGUGGUAAACACAUUUGAAAAUUUGGAGGGAAGGUUUUUUGUUUGUGAAGUUGAUCACCCCACUGGUUUGGGCUCAAGACUUUUAGGAUAGUAGCCAUGGAAUAGGCUGGCUCUGAAUGGGUUUCACUAAGAAAGAAAUGUUUGAAUUUUACUGACUCAGUGGCUUCUAAAAUGCUUUGAUAGUAAGACUGGGGUUUUGUAAGAUCCCAUGGUUUGAAAAACCAACCUUUAGGGAAAAACUUUGAAAUAGAUUGAAAAGGAUCAGCAUGGUAAAAACCAUCUUCUAUAGAUAAAAUAUUUUGGAAGUGGGUUUUAUCAAACCAAUCAGAAGAUUUCUUUGAAAGUGUUGGCUGGGAAAGCACAAUUUGAGAAGAUGAACUUUCACCAGAGACAACUACAUUUUGAGAAGAGGGUUUUGAAAUCUCUUUGGAAACAAGUUUUUCUUUUUCAAUCUCUUCUUUAGGAGAAAUUUGGCUUUGGGAAAAGCUUUGUAGAGCGAGCAUAAGCUCAGUGGAUUUUGUAAUGGAACUCAUCCAUUGUUUUACUUGGUCAUCAGAGGUAAUUGCUUUGUAUUGGGCUUCUUGUUCUUCAACCAUUUCAAUCCAGGAUUUGAUGGGCAUGGCAGAAGAAAGCAAAUUUUCUUUAGAAGGGGUUGAAUGAGGUUCUUUAGAGGUUGCUUGAGACUCAGAGUCUUUAAGAACAACUUUACCUUUGUCCUUCUUUCUUGGCGGCAUUAUCUGUUUUGGAGAAAUUCUCUGGUUAGAAAAUCAGAGACAUAAUUUUUAUCUCCUUUAAUAAAUUCAAUAUUGAAAUCAAAAACACUUAAAAUGGCUUGCCAUCUUGCAAAAAUUUGUUUUGAAGCAAUAUUUUGAACAUCUUUUUCCAAAACAUGUUUUGCAGCUUUGCAAUCAAUUCUAAGCAGAAAUUUUUGAUUUAAUAAAUCACUUUGGAAUUUAGAUAUGCAUAAAACAAUAGAAAGAAUUUCUUUUUUUAUAGUAGAAUAAUUUUUCUCGCAAUCAUUCCAAUGUGCAGAAACAUAUUGUAUUAUAUGCUCUUUAUCAUUCUCUUUUUGUUUUAGUAUACCUUCAUAGCCUAAAUCAGAUGCAUCUGUUUCAACUAUUUUAGGUAAUGCAUGAUUUGCCAAGAAUAAACAAGGAAUAUUCUUUACAGAAUUUUUUAUCAAUCGGACAGCUUUGGUGUGUUCAUCUGUCCAUGCAACAUGAUUCUUUUUUAAUAUGUCAUGCAAAGGUUUAGACAUCCGGUUAAUAUUAGGACAGAAAUCAAGAACAUAAUUUAGACUUCCUAAAAAUCUUUGUAGUUGGGUUUUAUCAAGAAUUUUAUCAGGAAAUUUAUCCGCAAACAAAAGUGAUCGUUCAAUAGGGGUGAUAGUUCCUUUAGAAAUAUAGUGACCAAGGAAUCUGACUUUUGUUUGGAACAAUGAAACUUUAGAACUAGAAAGGGCUAGGCCAGCCUUCUUAGUGGCAAAAUAAAAAGUUUUUAAAUGCUUGAAAUGUUGAUCAAUUGUUUGAGAAAAAAUCAACACGUCAUCUAUAUAAACAAUGCAAAACUCAGAAUAAGGGUUAUAGAUGUCAUUCAUGAUUCUUUGAAACUCUGAUGGUGCAUUCUUUAAACCGAAUGGUUUUACAGUCUACUCAUAUUGUCCAAAAGGAACAGUAAAGGCAGUUUUAUAGCGGUCAUUAGGGUGGAUUUGGAUUUGCCAAAAACCCGAUUUCAUGUCAAAUUUUGAAAAAAUAAAAGCUGAACACAAUUUCUGGAGUAAAUCGUUUUUAUUAGGUAUAGGAUAUCUAAUCUAUUUUAAUGCUUUAUUUAAAGGUUUGUAAUUUAUUACAAGUCUUGGUGUUCCUCUUUCUAUUUCGGAGUUUUUAUUAACAUAAAAAGCGGCCCAAGACCAUGGGGAUCUGGACUUUACAAUGAGUCCUUUGGUCUCUAAAUCUUUUAUCUCAUUUUUACAGUGUUGUUCCAAUUCCAUGUUCAUUUGGAUUGGACGAGCUUUAGUGGGUAUUUAUUUUUCAUCAAAAGAAUUGUCAUAGGGCAAAUCUACCAAAUGUUGUUUUCUAUCCCAAAAAGCAAAUGGUAAAUCGGCGCAUAUUUUUUUUUCAAUGAGAUUUUUAAAAUCAGAGAUCUUUCUUUGUAUAAAGUCAUUUUGUAACUGGCUUUCAAUUCUUUGUAGACUUAAGUCCUUUUUUAAACAAAACAAGUCAUUUUGUUUAGAUUUAAGCAUGGCAUUGAUUUGAUUCUGGUAAACAGAACAAGCUUUAACAAUAUUUAGAUUUCUUGUUUUUGGUUUCUCAAUAAAAGGGAAAACAAGCUUUUUGGAUUUUGCUUUAAAACAUAUGCUAUCAUAAUUGACAAUAUAUGAGGUAAUUAAAUUUAUAAAUGAGGUUCCUAAAAUGACUGUAUGGUGUAUGUCAUUUGUAAGAAGAAAAGAAGUUCUGAAUUCAAAACCAUUGUUAUGCACUGAGGCGUCUACUUUUGACUUAAUUUUUAGUUUUGAAUUAUUGGCGGCCGAGAGUCUUUCAUUUGUCUUUUCAUGGAAUUUUUUAGGGACAAUAUCUUCUUUAAUGCAAUUCAAAUCGGCACCAGUGUCAAAGAGAGCAAUGGUGUCAAUUUCAAAAUCUUUAGAAAAAAUUAAAGUGAUUUUCAUCAAAUACUUUCUGGUGGUGAUUUGUUUUAAAACAAACAGGAAAUCAUUAGGUGCAGAUUCAAUGUUUUCAAGGUUUUGUUCAUUGUCACCAUCAGUUUCGGCUUCUUUAUCAGAAUUAUCUUCUAAUUGUUUUUGUAUGAGAAGUUGGAUAGUAUCAGAAUCAUUCUUUUGUUUUUCUUUUAAUUCUUUAAUCUCAAGUUUGAUUUCUUUGAUCUUUUUCUGAAGAUCUUGGAUAUUGGGGACAGUUUUGUUUGUUUUCUUUUUGUCCAAAAUCUCAGUAAGGUCAUAAGAGUUCUUUUUAACAAUUGGAACUUUAGAAGUUUCUGCUUUAUUAGAAUCUAAGGUCUUUAAAAGUUUAUCAAGGUAUUCUUUCUAAAUAUUCGGAUCAGUAAUAUGUUUAACAAGUUCAAGAAAAAUUUCUUGGUCUUUAGUCAAAACAUUGAUUUUCUUUAAAUAGGAAUCUGAAUUGCUGGUGUCGGAGUCACUCAAAGAAACAGAUUCAGAGUCAUUUAACUCAUCAACCUGUAGAGGUUCACUAUCUCCCGUCAUGGAAGACUCAGAGUCAGAAGACUCUAUAAGCAAAGAGGCAACUUUGGAGAGGGUUUCAUCAUCAAGAUCAAGCUCAUGGAGCUUUCUGUUCAUUCUGCAAAACUUUGCAGUAUGGCCUUUCUUUCCACAUUUGUAACAUGUGGCUUCUUUAUAAUUAAACGAGAUUUUUGGUUUGGCUCUAAACUCUUUCUUUUUAGAGAAGUUGGGUUUCUUAUAAGGCUUCAAAGGUUUCUUAUAAGGAAGUUCUCUAAAGUCUUGAAAGGGUUUCUUAUGAAAUCUAGAUUUGUAAUGUUUCUUGUAAGGUUUUGUAGAACACUUACCAUUACAAUCUUUGGAAGUAGAAGUCUUAAAGGGGUUAUAAUUGAAUUGUUUACAGAAACUGCCUAAUUCUUGCUUAGACUUCUUAAGCUCCCAUUUUAGACGUUUCUGUAUCUUCAAAUCUUGACAAAUCUUUAAGCCUUCCUUAUUGACAAAACUAACAAGUUCACCAUAGGUGAGCUCAUCAUAAGGAAUUCGGUUAUCAUAAAGAGCUUUAAUGGAAUUCCUAACCUUUUCUCCUAGUAGGGUAGGUAAACCUGCAAGGAAUUUCUCUUUCCAAGUUAUAAGAUUUGCAUCAUCCCUAAGGAAGAGUCUGGUGAAGAAAGUGGUUUUAUAGCUUUGGAAUUCACUAAGUUUUCUACACCUCAGGUUGUGUAGUAACUCGGCGUUUUUGUCUCUAAGGUGAGAAGGGUCACCUAUGAAAUGGAGGGAUAUAGUUAGAAUCAGGGUAGCUACAUCAUCCUGAAUUGGACUAUUGAACUCAUAAAGAAUAGGGGCAUUAUUCUCAUCAACUUGAAUGGAGUUUAGGAUAUCUAAUUGUUGCUGUUUGGUGAGGAGAUGAUCCCACCAUCCUUUAAGUUGACCAGUAAAACCAGCAACGAGAAUUUCUGCAAUGGCUCUAUCCGAAGUUCCCGUCUAUGUUUUAUAGGCAUUGGCUGCCAUGGUCAUUUGUCGCAACAAUCCUAGGAUGUUGUAUUCAGACAUACCAUCAAUAUUCCACUCAUAGACAGAAGAUGCAUUAAAUCGUGAUUGAUUUAAAGCACUUGGUCUAUUAUCUAUAGCUAGAUCUGGUGGAGUCUUGACAGUAGGUAGGGCUAAAUCCCAAUGGAUUUUGUUAGCAUGAGGAACAAAAGGUUCUUCUUUAAAUGCUUCUAUGUCUGAAGAGAUUGUAGAAACAUCAUCAUGCUCUAGUACACCAAUCUUGCUGGAUUGGGCACUAUCAGGGGCUAUUUGGACCUUAGAAGAAAAAGAAGAAGAUGAAGCUUCUAUUCAAUCUAAUUGGUCUCUAAUGGCUUUAGCAAAAUCUGAUUUUGACUCUUGAACAAGCUUUUGGCUAGUUUUCGAAACCUGGAAAGGUUUGAAAAUAGGUUCCUUAAGCUUUUUGUCAGAAUCCGAUUUUGAUGAAACAGGAGAAACUUUUAUGGUUGGCUUUUGGAACUGGCUUUCUAUCCUAGUCAAUUGUUUUCCUAUAGUAUUUAAGUUAGUAUUACAAAAAUUAUUCUGUUGAAUAAUACUACUUAAAUUCGCAUCAGAAUCAUUUGGUUUUGGGAUUUUGUAAGGUGAGGCUCUAAUCUCAAUAGGAGGUUCACCAUGGUUAAUAGUUAAACUCCUAAGAGGUGGAUGUUCAGAUUCUAUGGUUCUAUUGCUAUCAGAAAGAUUCCACUCAGGGGUUUUCUUCCUAACAGUAAUAGGGUUUGACUCUUUAAAAGGAUAAGAGAUGUUGUUAUUGGAAGAAUAUAUCUCAAACCAAUCAAAAAACAAUAUAUGAAUUUUUUGAGAAUUUACAAAUGCAUAAUAUGUCUCUUGAAUUUCUUUUCUUUUAUUUAGAAAAUGUUUAAAAAACCAGAGUCUUUUUUCUUUAUUAUUAUCUGAAUAAAAGUCAUUGUGAAGAAGAGUUUUAUUCAGCUCAAAGUCUUUCGUUAUGACAUUUAUUACAUUUUCUGUGACAGCAGAAAACGUAGGAGAAGUUGGAGGAGAAGGGUCCUUCUCUUCCUGUCUUUGCUCAUGUUGUUUCGGAAUCACUGGUGCAGUGGCACCUUCAAAAAUCCAUUCAUCUGGAAGAUUGAUAUCUUUCCAUUGUAUUGAUUUUGGAAUGACAGUAUUUGCUUUGGACAGAUCAGUUUGUAAAAGGAGAGUCUCGUCUCUUUUUGACUGGAAUUUAUGUUGCGUGCUAAACGCAGAAAUCAUGGCUUUAUAAGAAAUUUUAAAGAUUAAAGCAACUGGGACAGAUCCUUUUAUCAUGUGAUAAUUAUGGGUCUUGAUUUGUAAAAUCAUACUUUUUAAAAUGUUCUUGUCUUUUAAAGAAAUUGUUAUGUUGGGAUAACAAUUGAAUGAAAUGGGACCUUUACAAAGACUUGAUUCUAUACUACUUAGUAAAGAAUCAUCAAAGGAGAUGAAACGACCAUCUCUCAGGACAACCAGAAUAGACGUAUCAAGACAUUCUUUCGUUAGAGGUUUUAUGCCGACUUGUAUUAGUCCGAUGUGAAUAUAAUUAAAAUUUUUAUCUUUUAAUUUCUUUAAAGACUGUUAUGAAAACAAAUGAAUUGUUUCAAAAGGUUCUGAAAGGGUUAUGUCACGUUCUUCGGUCUUUAUAACAUAAUCAUUUUUUAAAAAAUCAAGAUUUUUUGUUUUGUAAAUCAUUUCUUUAUUCACCUUUGGUAAUUCACAAUUAUCAAUUGCUUUAUUGAAGUCUUCGAUAACAAAUUCUUCAGAAUUCACAACAUUCUUUGAAUCGCUAGUUCUUCCAGAAGAAGAGCUAGAAAAGGACGAUGCUCUACAAAGUAGAGAAUCCAUGAAUCAAAACCUAUGGUCUACUCAAAGACCUGUUGGUAUGGUUACAGGUUUGGUUUUACUGCCCUAAGCGGAAAAUCUUAUCCUAAAGCGGGACUGACUACCAGUAAGGAAUUCACCACACAAACAAGAAUUAAAAUAAAACACAAGUCUUUAGACACAGAGACUCUAAACUAUACAACACUUUCCUCCCCUUGGCUCUGAUACCAGAAGGAAAUAGGAUAAUGGAUGUGUUUCAUAUAUAUAUUGCGGAUUCACGAAUUUUUACAGAUUUGUACCAGUAAAUCCAUAUCCAAUCCAUCGACUGCGGAUUUUUAAAAUUUUAAUCCAUAUCCAAUCCACGGAUCCACGGAUCGAAUUUAUACGGAUCAGACAUAUUGAAUUGAUCGGAUUAGAUUAUGAACACCCUUAAGCUGAGGCUAGGUGUUUUUAGUUUUGGAUAUGUCGUUUUGUCAGUGGGAACGGCGCCAUUUGUUUGGGUUUAAAAUUGAGCAUAUUUAUGAUACUUAGAGGAAUCGUACAAAAAUCUGUUAACAUAUAUGUUUCCAUAAUAUUGAUUUUGAUGAUAACAAACAAGUUUAAGAAUGAUUAAUCUUUUAAGCUCAAAUUAUUUAAUAUUCUUUUUAAAUAAAUCAUUAUUUUCACAUUAUAAAUGUUUUAUAUUUAAUGGAAAAAUGAUUUUAUGAAAUUGAUUGUUUUUAUUCUUUUUAAAUAAAUCAUUAUUUUCACAUUAUAAAUGUUUCAUAUUUAAUGGAAAAAUGAUUUUAUGAAAUUGGUUAUUUUUCAAAGUUUAUGGUUUAAUUGAAAGAAUUUUGAAAACUUUGAAAUAAACAAGUAUUGCUUGAAAUUUUGGAGAAGGACUUAUUUGAAAAGUGUCAUAGUAUUUUGGGCUAUACCAUAAUUUCAGAAAGUUUUGGGAUUAACAAAGCAUUACUUAGAAAUUCUGAAAUUGGACCUAUGUGCAAUGUUUCAUAACAUUUUGGGUCAUACUAUAGUUUUGUAAAGUUUUGGGGUCAAACUGUAAUUUCAGAAAAUUCUUUCAGUGUAGCAAUCACUGUAGCAAACGGCUAACCGUUUAUUUAAAAAUGGCUAACCGUUUAUUUAAAAACGGCUAACCGAUAAUUUCCAGAAAGCAUGUUCUGCAAAGUAUUGUUAAAAUGAUGAUUCUGGAAACUAACGGUGAACCGUUUACUGAAAACGGUUAACCGAUUAUUUUCAAAUUGCUAACCUUGAACCGUUUAGUAAGAACGGUUAAACCAAAUUUAUUUUGCAGGUCUCUGGAAGUUAACGGCGAAAGGGUAAGCCUAAACGACUAACCGUUUAUUUGAAAAUUGGCCCAACGGUAACUUUGACCGGCCUAAACGGUUAACCGUUAAUAGUUAACGAUGAACCGUUUUCGAGCAGACAGUCUAUAACGGCUAGUUUUUCAGCUCCAACUAUAAAUAAGUUCAAUCCAAUUCAAACAAGUAGAAUUCCAACGAUCAUCAUUGAGCAAAAUAUUGAGAAUACAACUUUCAUUGAGCUUUAAAUCUUUGUAUUCAUCUCAUUCAUUCACACAUUGAGCUUUCACUUGUGAUCAAAUACAUUGUAUGAGAGGGAUUCAUUUGUAAUCUUUUUUGUAAAAUCAAGUUAAAAGAUUGUAAGUGUUGGGAUACACUUGGGUUAAGAGAUUGGGGAUAAUCUCUUGUUGUAAAGGUCCAUUGACACCUUGGAAGUCAAUUGUAAGCGUUUGAAGCCUUGGGAGGCUAGCUUAGUGAAAUCCUCAAGCCCGGUGAGCUUGGAGGCGUGGACGUAGGCGGGGAUUGCCGAACCACGUAAAAAUCAUUGUGUUCGUUUUCUCUUCCCUUACUCUUUUAAUAUUGUGUAUGAUUGAAUUUAUUGUUUUCAAUUUGAUUAAGGCAAUAGAUUAAAUUGUUGUGUGGUUUGCUUAGCUUAAAUUUUAAAAUCCCAAUUCACCCCCCUCUUGGGUUGCCUAGUUAGUAUUUCAAAAUCGUCAUACGUAGUUACGUACUAAACUCAAACUGACUGGUCUGAGUAUUUAUUUAAUUUUAAUCAAUUAAAUACACCUGACUGAGUGAGUUUAAAUCUCAUCGGAUGGUGUACAAAUACGAUCUGUCGAAUUCAUAGGAAUUAUUUUAAUCUCCGCCACAAAAAUAAAAAGAAUUACAUUUUUAUUAUUUCUAAAAAAACUUUCAAAUAAUAAUAACGUCCGCAUUAUUGAAUUCCACAAAUCCUGCAAUAUAAGAUGCCCAUUUGAUGUCUAUAUAAUCCUCCAAUUCAAGCUGCCCAUUUGAUGAUUAUAUUUUUUUUUUAUUUUUCUCAUUUUUGUCUUCUUGUUUCCUUAACAAAUAAUAAUAUAUAAAUACUUCAAAAAUACUUCAAAAAUAAACAAGAAUAUAAUGUUAGUCAACAUGGCAGCUUUCACUUUUAGAAAGAAAAAGAAGGAAAACGAAAUUAAAAAGAUUCUGUACUGGACAAACUAUAAUUCCCCAUUCAGAGGUAGUUAAAUUUCAUCCAUACAUUUCAUUAAUAAUAAAUAAAUGAUACAAGAUAAUUUAAAAAUUUAGAAGAAUUUAAGCUAAGAAACCCAAAAUAAAGUUGCUUGGAAUUUAUAACAUCACUUUCCAAAUAAAAAUAAUUGUACAAAUGCACUUAUAUACUUCAAGUUGACAGCUUAUGCAGCAGAAAGGAAUUGAUUAUAUCAUUAUCCUUGCUGAAAAUACGUAGGUAAAGAGAUAGAGAGGUUUUUUUUUUUUUUUUUUGAAUGAGAACUAUUGCUCAUGAUAUUUACAAUCAUAUAAAUAUUGAGACCCGUUUACAUCAAUUUUGAUAUGACACCGCUCAGAUUUUAAACCUUCUCAAAUAUUCGAGGAACAUCAACUCCCAUCCUGAGAGAAAGACUGUCUUCACUCAAGCUCUAGGACUCCAAAAAAAAAAAUUAAAUUAAACUCCUACAAUACGUUUACGGAGGCUCGAACUGCUUCCCUCACAUUUAUGAAUGAGUAGCUCUAGCCACUUGGGCUUAGCCCUAAGCCCAAGUGGUUAGAUAGAGAGGUAUUAGAUGCAAAGCAAAAGUGAUUUUCUUUCUUUCUUUAUCCGUGUUUUGAUGAAAAAAGUGAUUUGAGUGAGUAAUCAUCAUUGUACUAAACAAAUAAUUGAAAGAGUGGCAUACUAAUAAUCUUCACAAGCGCCAUUCAUUGGCUUCUUACUCUUUUUUUUUUUAAGAGAGAAUAUAGUAACAAAUUUAAUAUCACUAUCUUUUUCGUUCUAAACAGGGGUGGCUUUAGGUAUAGGCGAGUAAGACAGUCGCCUAAGGCCUCAUAUUUUAAGAAGGUCUCAUUUUUUUUAAUAUUUUCUUAAUAAUUCUCUAAUUAAUAAAUUUUUUUAAUACAUAUUUUAAGAAUUAAGAGUUAUUUUUGAUUAAAAAAAAUCUAUUUUUGGAAACCUUAAUUUUAAAGAAAUAUAAUUAAUAAUAUUCUUUAACCAUUAGUUGAUUCAUUAUUAUUAUUUCCAAAAAAUUAUUUACCUUUUUAAUUAUUCAAUGUUAGAAUCUUUGAUUUUUAGUAUUUCUUUUAAUUUCUAUUAAAAACCUUAUAAUCUCAAGAAUUAGUAAAUGAAAAAAAUUUCUUAUUCUUUUCUAUACAAAGAAAAUCAUUAUAUUUAUUGGUUCAUGUAAAAUAAUUAGUUUCUUAAAAUAUAAAGUCCAUUUUUGUUUUUGAACAUCAAUUCAUCAUUUCAAAAUUUUGUACUCUAUCAUUUUAAAUAUUCUAUUUGAAAAAAAUAUUGUUUUUAUUUAUUUGUCUGUUUGUUUUUAACGGUUUUAAUGGAAUAAAAAAAAUACCUUCUUGACUAUUUUUUAGGUUUUAUUUUUAAAAUUUUUGAUCUUUUUUUAUUAUUAUUGAAAUUCAAAAAUUAAAGAUGAAAUAAAUUUUAAUUCUUUUUAUUGUCUUUGAGUAUUGAAAUUACAAAAUAAAUAGAGGACUCAUAAGAAAAUUUUGCCUAAAGCCCCUCAGACUCUAAAAAGGAUAGCAAAAUGCUCCAUGAAAUCCUACCUCAAAUGAGAUAAAUUUUAAUGAUUUUUCUAAAAGUAAGAAAAAAAUAAUUUAUAAAUAAUUUAUAGAUUGAAAUUUGGCUUUAUACAUCUUACCCUAUCUCUACCGUCUAAAUAUUUUAUAUUUUUAUAUAGUUUAAGAUAUUAUUUCAAUUGGAUUAUUUUUUAUUUUUAAUAAUUUAAAUAUUUUACAAUAUGUUGGUGGUGGUUUUAUUUGAGUCAUUUUAAUUUUCUUUUCACCAAAAUUAUAUAUAAAAAUCAACAAUAAAAUAAGCAAAUGAGAAGACGGUGGGAUGGAUAACUUAUCUUACACAAAGAUUUUCUAUUCCCAUUAGAGAAUGAAAUUUAUUCUAAUGGGGGUGGGUAAUCGAGAUGGUCUCCCCAAUUACUCCGCCACGUUGUCAUCCUUAUACUAAAUCAACCGUAUUCUACCAAGCAAUACGACCAUCGUGAAGAAACAAUGUAUUAUAUAUUGUUUAUAAUUUAUAGAAUGCGUAAGGAAGCAGAAAAUUAUCUUUGAAAAUGAGAGGGAAAUGGAGUUUACAGGAAAUUUCCUGCUAUCAUCAAAUUCGGCUACAUGAUAGCAAGUGUCAUUGGUAAGGAAGCUUACAACUUCAAAUUUAUAUACGCGGGCGAUAUAUAUAUAGCAUAAUUGGCAAAAAUGAGACACCAAAUUUCAUUAUUGACAAAACACACAGCAGAAGUGAUUGGUCUUCUAAUUUGAUCUGUUUACCCGGUAUUUAUGGUGCUAAAAAGCAACAACCAUGCACGCUUUUUCUUCUUUUAUUUUUGGGCUUUUUUUUUGUGAGGGUUUUUUUUUUGGGGGGGCCUGAUUCAAUUUCGUUAGUUUAAAAAUUAAAAUUGAUCUGUUGUAACUUUUAAAAUUGGCCAAAACACAGCUACGUCAUGUCGAUCCGUGUUAAGUUGUGAUUAUAACUAUAUGUGUAGUGCGAGAAUUUCUUGAUGACUGGACGACGCGGCAACAAAAGUAGGCCAAGAUUCCUCUCAUCGGAUCACAGAGUGGGAGAAAGAAUAGAUAUGACGAAUGGCAGCAAUUCUCCAAUUCCAAAUUCAUAUUCGUCUCAGUGAAAGAUUAGGCUUAUGGGGAGACGACACGAGUUUGAAACUGGUAAAAUUGGGCCUAUUAAGGCCCAGAUCAAAGUCCGACCCCCGUGCCCUCUCCAACAAAAUCACUAUCUCACAAAAAUCUCAGUCCAAGAGAAGGACAUUCCGAAGGAUAUUCCACGCUAAUUUUUCAAAUUUCCUUUUUUUUUUCCCUUUUUUUUUUUCUUUCUCCACCUACUAUACAGUUCCACAUCUCACAAAAAUCUCCAACUACUAGGCCCCAUGCAGCCGUGCUGGGUCUCCAUCAAAACGACAAAUACUAUAUAUUUUCCAAUUUUUAUAAUGCAUGUUUAAAAAAUAUAUUUCCCCUUUUGUCAUCUUCCCUCCUUAUCUAAAAUUAUCCUUUCAUCUCCGUUUACUUGCUCUACCCCACGCGCCGACCAAGUCACCCCAAUUCUUUAUUUCGUAAUGUCAGGUAUUUUGCAGAUCCAUAUCGAUAAUUAUCCAACCUCUACUCCAUUUAUCGGCAAUUCCGCCAUCGGAUUCCCGCCGAUUCAAGGAAAAAUAAAGGCACAUCAAAUUAAAAAAACAUAAAAAAGGAUACGUAAUAUAACAAGACAAGCCCUAUCUUAUUUAAAAAAGGCAGCUCAUAGAAAGACAUAAAAAACAGUUCAUCAAGAACCACCACCGGAGACCCGAUCCGACCCGAACAAGUAACAUAGCAGGAAAAUUAGAUAAAGAUUAAAAGUCCUACAGACACGCCCACAUAAUAAUAGAUAACAUAAUCAUCAUCACGAUCGCGAUCAGACGGCCCGUGAUGAUGGCGAUCAUUAUCAUGAUCAAAUCUAAGACAAUUGACCGCAAUCAGCGAUCACGACGGGCUUGUUGGUCCUUCCGGAGCUGGACCCCACUUUCUCGAUGGCCUUGACGACGUCCAUGCCUUCGACGACUUGACCGAACACAACGUGCUUCCCAUCGAGCCACUCGGUCUUGGCCGUACAGACGAAGAACUGAGAUCCGUUGGUUCCGGGUCCGGCAUUCGCCAUGGAUAGGAUUCCGGGGCCGGUGUGCUUCUUCACGAAGUUCUCAUCGGCGAAUUUCGAGCCGUAGAUUGAUUCGCCUCCGGUUCCGUUUCCGGCGGUGAAGUCUCCCCCCUGGCACAUGAAUCCGGGGAUCACACGGUGGAAGGACGAGCCCUUGUAGUGGAGUGGCUUGCCGGACUUGCCGACGCCUUUCUCGCCGGUGCAGAGGGCUCGGAAGUUCUCGGCGGUUCGGGGGGUGACAUCGGCGAAGAGUUCCAUCACGAUCCGGCCGGCCGGCUGACCGCCGACGGUCAUGUCGAAGAACACUUUGGGGUUUGGCAUUUUUGAUUGGUUGAUUGGAGAGAAAAAAACAAACUAAACACGAACUUCUGAUUUGGUGAUUUGUUGGCGAAUUUGUUAGGGUUUUGGGGCAAUUAAAUAGGGGAUGAAGCGGUGGGGGAGUAACAAAAAGUGAAUCUGGACCGUUGAGGUGGGACACGUGGAGGUAUCGUGGGGCGGGGUGGAAGUAACUGUGGUUGAGUUAAGGUUUACUAGAGUUAUGUGAGGGAUCCAAGGCUGGGUGUUUUAAGUUUUGGAUAUGUCGUUUUGUCAGUGGGAACGGCGUCGUUUGUUUGGGUUUAAAAUUGCGCAUAUUUAUGAUACGUAGCGGAAUCGUACAAAAAUCGUCAUACGUACUAAACUCAAACUGACUGGUCUGAGUAUUUAUUUAAUCAAUUAAAUACACCUGACUGAGUGAGUUUAAAUCUCAUCGGACGGUGUACAAAUACGAUCUGUCGAAUUCAUAGAAAUUAUUUUAAUCUCGCCAUAAAAAUUAAAAAAAAUUAUAUUUUUUAUUAUUUCUAAAAAAAUUUCAAAUUAUAAUAACGUCCGCAUUAAUGAAUUCCACAAAUCCUGCAAUUUAAGAUGCCCAUUUGAUAUUUGUAUAAUCCUCCAAUUCAAGUUGCCCAUUUGAUGAUUAUAUUUUUUUUUUCUCAUUUUUGUCUUCUUGUUUCCUUAACAAAUAAUAAUAUAUAAAUACAAAAAAUACUUCAAAAAUAAACAAGAAUAUAAUGUUAGCCAACAUGGCAGCUUUCACUUUUAGAAAGAAAAAGAAGGAAAACGAAAUUAGAAAGAUUCUGUACUGGACAAACUAUAAUUCCCCACUCAGAGGUAGUUAAAUUUCAUCCAUACAUUUCAUUAAUAAUAAAUAAAUGAUACAAGAUAAUUUAAAAAUUUAGAAGAAUUUAAGCUAAGAAACCCAAAAUAAAGUUGCUUUGAAUUUAUAACAUCACUUUCCAAAUAAAAAUAAUUGUACAAAUGCACUUAUAUACUUCCGAGUUGACAGCUUAUGCGGCGGAAAGGAAUUGAUUAUAUCAUUAUCCUUGCUAAAAAUACGUAGGUAAAGAGAUAGAGAGGUAUUAGAUGCAAAGCAAAAGUGAUUUUCUUUCUUUGUUUAUCCGUGUUUUGAUGAAAAAAGUGAUUUGAGUGAGUAAUCAUCAUUGUACUAAACAAAUAAUUGAAAGAGGGGCAUACUAAUAAUCUUCACAAGCGCCAUUCAUUGGCUUCUCACUCUUUUUUUUUUUUUUUUUAAGAGAGAAUAUAGUAACAAAUUUAAUAUCACUAUCUUUUUCGUUCUAAAGUAAGAAAUAAUCUCAAAUAUUCCCAGGGAAGAAGAAUCAUCCCGCUCUCUGUGUGUGGACCAAACAUAGUAGUGUGCCCAUUUCGAAAUAUUGGAACUUUGGCGCCAUGAAAUCCAUGUGUCUUCACAAUUGUGAAUUAUUUGUUUAUAUGGAUACCACCUUCGCAAGGUGCGAGUCCCCGCUGCAUGCCUAAAGACAAACAAUACUGUCCCUUUGGAGGGAUAAUUCACAUACUUCACGUACAUGAAUAAUGGUGACAGUUACGCGUGCCCUCAAAAUCAUGAUUAAAUUUCAUUCAAUGUCUUUUUCUAGUUUUUUUAACUUGUUACAAGCACUAAUUUAGUCUUCCCUGAAUUCACAGUUUUUGAGAGAGAGAACUGAAAUAAAUCCUUGUGAGGGCUCGACCCCAGGUGAGUUACCAUCGCCAACUAGACUCGGUUGCACGUCUUUUUGUGGUUGAUCAGAAACCAAAACCCACAAAAUUGAAAAUUCUAUAUUGAAUUAACAGAAGCCCCCUUAAUGUCGAUGAAAUUCUCCACAAAUUUGACUGAAAAUGACUUUCACUAGGCAAUUAGAAAUAUCUUUGCCACCACAAGACAUCUCAUUGGAUCUCAGAAGAAUGACUGGAAAAUAAUGCUUCAAUUAUAUGAUAUAACCAUCCGGAAUAUUUGUACAAAAUAUCCCUUCUAUUUACAUUCCUUCCCCCGCCGACGCACACACCCCCCACCCCCCCAAAAAAAAGAACAAGUAAUCAUAACAUCUACAAAAUUUUCACCCUCUUUUUAAGCAUACACAGUUUAGCUAUUCUUUGCAGGAGUAUUCCUCGGAAUAUGACAUUGGUUUACAGCAAUCCCGGAUAGACGAGUGAUGUUAUACGUUCCAAUGAUUUCAUUGAUGCUUUGAGAAAUGCAUGCCCUUCAGUUGCUAUAGAAAAAGAACCGAAUUGUAAUUGCUUCUAUAUGAAUCUCAGUGUCAAGUUAUAUGAUUGCUGGCAAAAUAAAAGAAUGAUUACCUUUUAUGAGCAAUUUGACUUCCUUCGAGAAAUCUUCCACACGUCCUAAAACAGGCCUUAUUCCACAAAUCUGUAGAACACAGAGUUCCAAGUUUAAGGCCAUUUCCAUUACUUGAAGCAGUAAAAGACAGAUGUGACGGAUUUCGGGAUCAAUCUGCUUCAAUUUAUUCGCCUCACAUAUUUCAAUAACAAUAGAAGCUGCCUGAUCCUGCAAUUUCCAAUAAUAAGUCAAGAGAAGGCACUGGGAAAUAGUCUACAUAGCAGAAAAACGUCAUGACAAUAAAUUAAUAAUUUUAAUUCAUUUUGAUUAAAUAUUACAAGAUCUUUUAUUAGGCAAACCACUGACAAAUGAUAUAUAACUAGCCCUUGAUUGUAUGGGAUACUAAAACAAAAGUUACCAUCAUACCUGAAGGCCAUGUAAAAUCUCAGGCAUCGGAAGCUCGGGAAAAUGGGCAAGAUCAACAAAUCCCACUUCAUCUGCCCUUUCAGCAGCACCCUUAGCUUGAAAACAAAGAAAUUCUAAAAGAAGAAAUGUAAUUCUAUAGAUCUGCAUGGCAACAGCAUCUGAGAAGUAUGUUUGGGAAACGGCAAAACUACUGUCUGUUGUUUGAUCCCUGAUUACAAGAGCAGUUGUUGCUGAAGCAGAAGAUGACUUCGUCUUUGACACACUCCCAAGAGGUGUAAGGGCAAACCAUCCACUUUUGCUGUUGACGAUCGAUGGUCUAUUGCACCAAUCUAACUCCUCUUUGAGGACAGGGAGACAUAAGAGAGGGGCAGUCCUGCUGGCAGAUUCUCCAACAUGUUGAGUUCCUCGGCUAAUAAAGGCUAAAAGAUGGAUACUUGUUUCUCUCAAUUGUGAAUCCAUUUCUUUCAUGGCCUUAACCCAUGAACCCCAAUGUUUUGCUAACACACACAUCAGCAUGAGAGUGUGCUCUGUUUCUUUAAGAGAAGUCAGAGAAGCUUGGGUCCUUUGUGCACGAGCUCUUUUCUUCUCAUGAUCAUCAGACCGAAAGUCUGGUGAACUGAGAUUAUAAGAAAUCAGAAAAGCUUUCUCUGAAAAGAAAUAAGGUAUGACAUUGUCUGCUAUAUCCGUGCAAAAACUGUCUCCUAAAGAAUGAACCAUAGCAGCAACCACUGCCAUGCCAAGUCCCCAAAUUUGAUGAAGCUUUUCAGUUUUAUCCGGUAGAUUGAAGGGAAUCUUAUCAUUAUUGACUACAAAGGAAGGCCCAGCAUCCAAUAAUUCGGAAAACAAAACUUUAAGCGAUGAGAAAAAACCAGCAUUAAUGAGCAUCUCAGCACCUCCUCUAACUCGUGCAAGUGUCAAAAAGAACUUCAAUAUUAUUGGAAUGGAUUCAAAAGUUGUUUUAUCUUGAAGCUUCUGAAUGACAUGCCGCAGCUGGAGAUAUUGCUGUAUGAUGGGGAACCAAGUAUUAGGUGUCAGCAAACUUCUCAGUAUCAGGUCCACAAUAGUCAGGGAGAGAGUGCAAUGCUCUGCGCAAAUUAUGCAAUGGCAGAGAAGAGGUAGUAACCCCAAGGUCACAUUGGAAAUCUCAGCUAAGUUUUCAAAUUCCUUAUCUUUCAGCCCAUCUCGAUGUGAAUUAAGGCAAGUAGACUCCAUCACCAAGAGAAGCAACAUAAGCAAAUGCUUUAUCGUUACAUUCACCAUAGUAACUGAUGACCUCAAGUCACUCAGCACUUUAAGGCCAGAGCCACAGGUUUUUAAAACUACACAAAUGGGUGAAGUUGGUCUUUUCUGAACAGAUUUCACAAGAUGGAGAAGUAGUUCUGCCUGAGCAGCAAGGAAUUCAAGGAUAUCUUUUGAGGCACCUGGAGCCAGAGCUAACAGUUCGACCGUCACAUGGAAAUUUUGGCAUAUGUGAUCAAUGCAUGAAAGGGUGAGGUCAUCAGGGUUCUUCCUUCCAAUUUUGGACCUUUUCUCCAGUGACUGCCCAUCAGACAAGAGUCAAUAAUCUAUAAUACAAGCAAAUGCACAAACAGGAAAAUUAUAUGCCCAAGCCAGAAAGCAUGAGAUUAAAAUCCCUCUUGCUAUUAGCCAAUAUGUAGGAGUUUGAUCAUUUAAAAAUAAUGUUGCAGCAACAUUAUUUUUAAAUUCUCAAAAAUGAAAAAUAUAAGAAAUGAUCGAAGUUCAUCAAAUCUAUCUUUACAACAUAUAGAAGUUUAUUUUCUUAUUCGCACAUACAAUAUUCUUGAUUCUCAAGAAAUCCAACACUCAAAAGAUUAAAUGACAUUAAAUGUAAGCUCCUAGGAGCAAAGAUUGUAACAUGUGGACAGCAGAGUUAUUUAAUGUCCUUCAUGUAAAUUCUAUUAAUAAUUAACAAUAUUUUUACCUUGUGUUCAAAAUGUUAGCCCACUGUCAUGCAAAUCGAAAAAUUUGUGUAAUACACCUCAAUUAUUAGCAUGAUACGUCCAAUAUUUUCCAAGGGUUUCAACACAAAUUCUGACCAAAGCUUCAAAAACUUACAUAAAUACACCUCCCUAACUUAUAAUUGCAUUCUUUUAGUCAGUAUCUCCAUUGAAACUACACAGAACCAGAAAAUUAAACAGAACACCUCUAGAAGAGAAGAGAUAAAAAUCAAAUCAAUUUAGAUGUACUCUUGUGAUCUUUAAAGUGAGAUUAAACUUUACUUCUACAUAUAACAAAAAGUGUAAAAGAAGGGGAAAAAAAAACAUAAAUAGGUUCACUGAACAAACUUUUCUAGAUCUCUAAUGUUCAAGGUUAGCAGACCCUAACAGAAGGCAUUCAGAAUUAGAGGACUUACAUCAUUUUCAUACACUGUUAAGACAGUUACUAAUGCUUUCAGAGCAGAAAGCUUUGAAGUUGCAAGUAACACCAUUGAGUUUGCUUCUUGCAUGCAAUGCAAUGUUGUGUCAGCAAUUGCUUUAAAUGCUUUCCAUUCUGAAUAAUCCCACAUGUCCAAACCCAAAUCUUCUCUCAUGCAUACAGGAUCAAACAAGUACACAUCUUCGGAAGCAGCAAAUAGGUCAGCAUUGUAUUUAUGUUCGUACGACUGCAAAAACUUAGAUUCAAUCAGAUACUGCAAUAGUUCUCUGAAUGGCCCAGGACUGAUUUCACGACCUUCAAGCUCUCCUUGAAGAUGACAGUAAAGAUCACUGAGUAUUAAAAUCGUCAACUCUUUUCCUUCACUGGAAAGAAAUUCCAAAGAAUUAAAAAUAUUAAUUUAGUAGACAAGAGAGUGAUCACAUCAUGGGAAAUUAUAAAAAAUUAAUUAAUUAAUUAAUUAAAUGUGCAUAUAUAUAACUAAUGCCUUUCAUAUUCUGAAACAGAAUUAUAGCCCAGACCUCUACAUUUUGGUCAAGCAGUACACAAGUAAGUUGACAUGACAUCACAAGGACAUUCAGUCAUACAUUUACAAACCUCAGUAAAAAUUAAAAAAAACAUCAUUUUUCAUUCAGCAUCAGCAGUUAACAUCGCUAAUUGGAUUUAGAUGUCCUGUUUCGAAAUAAAACAGUUGAUAUAAAAGAAAACACAUGAACUUUAUUUACCUGUAGCGACGCUGUGAGUAUUGCAUCAGUAAUUGAGUAAAAGCAGCAUGGCUGGUCAACUGUUGACAAAAAAUAUCAUCAUCCAAAUAAUAUGAUGUGACCUCAAAGACAAAAAGAAAUGGAGAAAAACAGACCGGUAAUUGUGAAACAAAGAUGAUGGAUCAAAAGGAUCACCUAAUUAGAAAAGAUUAACAGCAUGCCUAUAGUAGACUGGGUCAUACCUUUUUCGACAUAAGGCGAACCUUCUCAAGCAAUGAAACAGACAAACUUCCCGAAUCACCGGUUGCUAAUUUCCCUAUCAUAUGCACAGUAAGUAAACUGACCGCAACCUGCGAAGUAGCAUGUAAAAUUGUGAAUAUUACAGUUUUUACAAAUUUGAAUAUAAAGAGUAUAAAACAAGGGGAUAAAACAAUUAUCAAAGAACCAUGUGUACAAACAGAUGUACUCCACAUCAUAGAGUAUCAUUCAGUCAGGUAUAAACCAUUGUAAUUCGGAAGUUCUUAUUAAGCCAAUUGGAGAAUUGUGAAAUUAAAUGGAAGUUGCAUAUCUCUUUCUACUGAAUUGCCGAGAAAAAUAAGGAAAACUAGCAGGAAAGUCACCUUUGCACGAAAAAGUAUCUCAUUAUCAUACGCACAGGAAGUAUAUGACUUGAUCAGCUCACACAUUACAGAGCUCUGAUACCAACUUGACAAGAUAUCCUCAGCACCCCAAUCAUUUGCAGAUUUUGACUGUCCAGCACUUACUACAUUUUCUAUCCCUCCGUUUGAUUCUGUGGCUUGUUUAACAAGUGACUCAGCUUGUAAUAACCUUUGCUUCAGGAAUAUAUCAUGUGCCAUUAUGUCUAAUAUAGCAGAUUGACACUGAUAUUCGUAUGCUAAAUUGUGAGACUCCACUUCUGUUAUAUCUUCAAGUCCAGGAGAUUGCAAGCUGGUAAUUAACGAAAAUGAGUAGGACAGAUGCUUCCAGAACUUUCCGGAGCUCUUCAAUGACUCCAAAAUAUUUGUGUACUGCCCAGCCCCUUGCCACAAGGCCUUUAGGAAGUUAAGUACAUUCAGCAGUAUGCGGGGAUUGCUGGACAAGAUAAAUAAAAUUUCAGACAGAUUAUAGCAUGUAACCUCAGAUAGUAACAGUAUCCAACAUACAAAUUACAAGCCACAAGAUCUAACAGCUAUCAUCACUAAAAAAAAUCAACUGACAACAAAACCAAAACCAGCCUAAAACUCCGUCCAGAGAAUACCUCUUGAUAAGAUCAUCAGAUCUUUGAAUAUACAGAAGAAUUGCAUCUAUCACCCUUGAUUUCUUGGAUCCAAGCAACCCUGAUGAAGCUUCAUUUGCUGAAUGCUUCAUCCCACUGUCAUUGCUUUGUGGGACAUCUUGACUCUCCAUAGUUGAAAAGAAAGCAAUGAGAAAAGCAGGCUGCAAAAGAAAAGCACAAAAUUAAGGGAAAAAUAACUAGAGAAUCCAAAGCAUCACUAUUGAGAUGGAAGCAUGAUGUCAAGGAAAGAACAGAAACUCCCAAAAGUUCCAAUAGUAACAUAGGUAGAACCUCAUGUGGAUUGAACACAUAGUUACUGAGCAAAUAACAUAACCAACAUAAUUUGACCAGUCACACAAUUCUUUUUUUUUUUUUUUUUUUUAAAGUUACAGAGAUAUAAUCCAUCAUCACACAUACACGAGUGUUCAAUGUGAAAAUUUAAGAGGCAGUACCAAACAAAAUCAUAGAGAAGAGGACAAUACCAAAGUAUAUAAACAUGCAAGUCCUCCAUCCGUGUAUAAAAUUAACGAAAGAGGUCUUCAAAACUUUGCAAAUGAAAAUACUGUAACAUACCUGAUAAUGUGCAGCAGAAGUGAGUAAAUUUACUGAAGCAACAAAUAGAUCUUCAUCUUCUACUGACUGUAAGCUGCUCUCAACAGAAUGCCUUAAAUCUGCAAUCUGAAACCAAGCACUCACUCAACUAAAAGAAAAAGAAACAAUCACUGCACUCACUUGAACUAAAUGGGAAAUGUAGAAGUAUGAGCACGAACACAAAUGUCAAACCUGAUUAUCAUCAAAACCAAAGCAUGCAUUGCCAGAAAAAUAUGGUUGUGAAUAGUCAGAUAUGGUCAACAACGGUGAUAGUACCUUAGUGGCACCAACUUGAAUAGCCUGUAUAGACAACUCAAAAAUUUGUAUAACAAUUAAGUGCCCAUACAUGAUAACUACAAGAAAUAUAAUAUUAAGCCAGAGUGUGAACGGACAGUCAAGACAGAUGGACAACUCCAUGCAGACAAUUAAAGUGGGUAAUCAUUUGUAUAUUUGCUUUGUGAAGUUCACGUGUAUACAAAGUAAACUUAACCAAAAUGCUUAAUCUCAUUACCUAAGGGAGCAACAUUUGCUGUUGAGCAUUAGCAUAUCCUCUCAGAUGCAAAGCACGUGAAUAAAACCCAGUAACCACAAAUGUAACAGCAAACACGAACACAGCUCAUUGCAAUUUAUUGAAAUACAAUGCAGGAGUUUUAAACACGAGAACACAGGUCAAACUCUGAUGUCAUGAUAAAGUUACCACUUAACCUAAAUUCAUAAAUUUACAGAUACCGAUUGAACAAUAUUAUUUAAGUUUUGACAAUGUAAUCAAACAAACUGAUAUUGAGAAAGUCCAUGGUUCCAUACUCAUGCAAGCCAGUUUAUAGGUGUACAUAUCCAAGUCCACAUGCAAAAAAAUAAAUAAAUAAAUAAAACCUUAGUUUAUUACACAUAAAUCGUGUUCAGGAAUGCCCAAAAAUUAACAAUUCUAGCAACUUAAGUUGGAAAUAGCAUCAAUUUUUUCCAUCAAUGUCAAAUCCAACAAGUAGGAGCUAAAUCUCAGCUCAUUUGUUUUUCAACAGAAACCUGAAGCAAGGGUUUCUCCCCAAUAUUUUAGUACUUGAGACUUCAAUUUAAUCUAAGCAACUCACAGACACCUGACAGACAAUUACCAUUUACAAACAUGGAGGAAAUUCAACAGGCAUUCUCGCAUAGAAGUGCCAACCAAUCCUUAGGCCCUAAAAUUGUAAACAACUACGCCAUUAUCUUCCACAAUGAUCAUACAAUUAUCCAAUAUUCACAACUUUAAGCAUAGGAAGAAACGAACAAAAAAUGCGUAUGGAUAAGAAAAAUGCAUACAGGAUUGCGAAAAUAUGAUAUCCAAGACGUAACAGCUGCAAAAACAGGAACUGGUGUUGUUGUAGGUGACAGCACAGCUUGGUAAAAGACAGAAGGGAUGGAAGAUAUUUCCUGUAAGCAAAAUUGAGAGUUAUAAAUUGCAUAGAUAUAAUUAGGGUAGAACUAUACAGAAUAUACCAUAUAUGCAUAGAAUCAGUGGAUAAAUAUUCGAAAGCAAUAAGAAGUGUGUUAGACCAAUGAAAACUUAUGUUAGGCACAAAUAUAAAGGGGCAGGAGUAGUUUAGUAAUUUUGCUUAUUCACUAAUUAGGGCUCAAGUAUAAAUAAUAGAUUAAGGAGUCAUUUAGGGUUUAUGCUGAGUUUUGUCUAGUAUUAGGAGUAAUUAGGAGUUUUGGGAGAGAUUGACCUACCUCUCGAAUUGCAGGUCAGUAUUGUUAUUUCUUUUUAGUCAAUCAAUAAAAAUCAACCCUAAUUUAGCCCUAAGUCCUAUCAAAGUGGUAUUAGAGCAAAAAUCUUGGGACAAUGGCAGCAAAGAAGGUGGACUCGCUUGAAUAGAAAUUGGAAGCAGAGGUUGGAUCGCUAAAGGCCACCAUUGACAAGCGAUUUAACAUCGUUCAACAACAAUUUUCAUCCCUUGAAGCCAUGUUGCUGAAAUUGACGGAACUCCACCUUAAACCACCACCGGGCAUGGCGGGAGAAGGAUCCGGUGGUACAGAAAUUGUGGUCGGCGGCGGCGCAAAGGGCGGAGGGCCAAAAACCACUAGUCUUGCACGACAAGGGGCGAUAGGUCACGAUGGAUUUGGUGGCGAGGAGGUCAGCCCAGGGGACUCGCGGCCUAGGGAAGCCUUUCUCGGCAUCAGGCCCGACAGAGGAAGCUGAGUCAUGGCUGGGGGUGGUGGAUCUGAGGGUUACGUAGCCGGAGGAGGCAACUUAAGGUCAAGCAUCGGCAUUUUGACACUGGAAUGGGGCACGCGAGAGUUGGGGAUGGUCGAGCUUGGCGACUCAGCGGUGUUUAGGGGUGAUGCACGGCCUGGCCAAGGCCAUUUCGGGUCUAGGCAGGCUUUGGGCCAGGGCAGGCUGGAUUGGGGCCCGGGCAGGGCGAUUUUGGGUCUGGACAGGUCAGAUUUGAAGGCGGAUGGCCGAGAGGAGGGGUUUCUAGUGAGAGAGGGGAGCGGUUAUGACCGAAAUGUGGCUAGGCAAGAGAUUUCAGCCCAAGGCAAGGAGAAUUUCGGGUUGGGUCUUCGGGAUUUGCAGAAACUGGAGUAGAUUAACAAGGUUGGAGACCUCCAAUGGCACGAAACUGAGCGGGAUAGACUUAACUUGAGGCGGAUUCUAGGGUAAGGAAACUGAAAAUGACCAUUUUCGAAGGCGAGGAUGCCCAUCGAUGGGUGUAUAGGGUAGAGUGCAAUUUUGCCAUCAAUGGACUCUCAGAAAGGGAAAAACUGAUGAUGGCGGCAUUAUGUUUGGAUGGAAAGGCCCUUGCGUGGUUUCAAUGACGAGAACAAUGAUAACCAUUAAGGCCGUGGGGUGAAUUCAAAGACCAGCUGUUGGAGAAGUUUUGGGCCACUCAAGAUGGAAUAGUCAUGGAGUAUAGGGAGAAGUUUAAGUUGCUAUCGGGGCGUCUAGGGGGAAUCGCAGAGACGGUAUUGGAAGGGAAUUUUAUAAAGGGACUAAAGCCAGAAAUCCAAGUUCGCUAUGUUUGCUAAGGCCGAGAGGGUUAAGGGAGACAAUGGAGUUGGCACAGAUGAUUGAGGAUAAGAACACAACAAAACAAAUUAAUAGGAGCAAUUCAGUCGGUUUUUAAGUCCAAAACAGCACACCAUUGGUAGGACAAAAAACUUAGACCUUGGGGUUUCAGCGAGAGUUCACCACCACGAGGCCAGAAAACGCAAAUGAUGAGGUUGUAGAGAGAUUCCCAAAGGGAUCGGAUUAGUGGGGCACGACCAGGGGUGACUUUCAAACGCCUCACAGAGAUGGAGAUUCAAAACAAGAGGGCGAAGGGGUUGUGUUUUUUAUGUGAUGAGAAAUUUUUACCGGGGCAUCGAUGUAAGGACAAAUCACUACAAGUCUUGACUGUGUAUGAUGAGGAGGAAGGCGGGGAGGAAGCCGAUGAAGAAGAGGCAGCAGUUUCCUGAAUUUCACCUUGAAGACAAGAUGACUUUUUGGGAGGGGAGUAAUGUUAGACCAAUGAAAACUUAUAUUACGCGCAAAUAUAAAGGGGCAGGGGUAGUUUAGUAAUUUUUCUUAUUCACUAAUUAGGGCUCAGGUAUAAAUAAGAGAUUAAGGAGUCAUUUAGGGCUGAGUUUUAUCUAGUAUUAGGAAUAAUUAGGUGUUUUGGAAGAGAUUGACCUACCUCUCGAAUUGUAGGUCAGGAUUGUUCUUUCUUUUUAUUCAAUCAAUAAAAAUUAACCCUAAUUUAUCCCUAAGUCCUAUCAAAGUGAUGUGAACUUGGAGGAAAGAAACAAAAAUAAUUGAACUUAAGAGAUACAGAUGCCGUUUGAUAGCUUGCGCAAGGAUUACUCAAACUUGUAACAUAAGAUACAGUAAUAAGAACUUGAAAGACAGGCAGAUAACAAAGACACAAUAGUACAUCUAUUUACCAGCGUACCAAUAACAUGAUGUGUUACUUCAUCAUUUACUAUGUAGCAAGCCCCUAGUAUUACAAUCCUAGGAAAAUUCGAAGCUUACCUUUGAAAAUUUUGAAAGCAUGGUAUACAAAAUAUCCAAAGCAGAACCUAUUGCAAGUUCCAGUCCUUCAAUCUCCGUCAGUUCAAAAGUGCGGAUGACAUAAAGUUUCUGUUAGCAUUGUGAUCCUGUUAGUAAGAAAAGCAGCACUGACUCAUAGAUGGAGAAUAAAUGUCAGUAAGUGCUGACAACUGACCUCCAAGGCUUCUUUAGUCGUACAAAUAAUUCGAAAGAGGGUAUUGUGGAUGGAAGAAUCACAGAGUAGCAUACCCCGAAUGACCUCACCCAACUUCCUGGGGGCCAAGGUUGAAAAUAUGCAUGUUUUGAUCACUUGAAGCACCUAAAACAAUAAACAUGAGAAAAAAAUUCACCUUUGCAGCAUUUAUUUCCGACCAAAAUAUUCCAGCAUUCAUUUGAGCAGAAUCAGAAGAUUAGAAGAGAUAAAGCAGAAUAUGAGGUCAGAAGGAAGACAAUAUGCUGGAAUUUCAAACAAAAGCCAAGCUUUUGACAAGCAAUUAUGAAAUCCCAACAAUUAACAAAAGAAACAAAGAUUUGAACUUUUGAACUGAUCAUUUCAUCCCAUCCAGAAGUGUUAACCAAAUAACAAUAUUAUCUUUCAACAAUUAACAAAACAUAACAUUUUAUGAUUUAAUUAAUAUAUUGGGAGAUUCCGAUGCAAGCAAGCUAAGGCUGAUAGGUAAACACCUAUUUCUUUUUCAAGCAUUUAAAUUAUUUUGUAACGUCCUUAGAGAAGUUCAAUUUUUCUGCUCUUUCAAAAUUAUUUACGGAUGUUUACGAAAUGAAGUUCCGUCGUACUCCCUGUCUGAAAUUUGUCAAUAUGAUGUAGCUUAGUUAAGUCUUUGGUUAUUAUCUGGCCUAGUAAAAGUGUCAUUCCCAAUCCAGAUCAUGGCUCUAGAGUGAUCAAUCUAAUUACUCAAACCUUCAACAUAUUUGCAUUAAAGUGAAGUGGGAAGUAAAUGACAGUUGAACCCGGCAGUGGCACUAGCUUUAAGCAGCUUGAGAAUUUCAACAAUACACAAAAUACCUCAUUAGUUAAACCUCUUGUUACCAUAAUUCUAAAACAUUUCCCAUCAAACUCUUAAGGUUUUGGCUUAAUUAUAUGAAAAUAAACUUUCCUGCUUCCAGAAACAGGAAAAUACCUUCCCUAAAGCUUCUAAAAUAGACAUAAACCUCCUACAAACUUCAUCAUGGACAGUUCCUGAAGUUUCAUUAAAUCUAUUAGAAACCUACCCUACAGGGAAAGUACUGCCUAUCUUCCAAAUCAAAGUGUCCUGGUAAUGUAACAGCUGACUAAAACAAUAACAUACCUUUAAUGUUACUUUCCAACGAACAUGCUUCACCUUGUAUUUCCAGUACUCAUGGUUUACUAGAAUAUACUGGAGGGAGAAAACAACUAAAGAAAGGACUAAAUCAUUCUCUACUCCUGUCUCCAGAAGCUGCAUAGUAAAGUCCAGCACUGCAAAGCAUAAUUUGCAUAUCAGAAUACAGAAUUCACAAUACAAGCACCAAUGCGUGAUCAAGUCAGAUGGACAAGCAAACUCACGAGAAUACAAAAAGCAUAAAUAAACCUAAUGUCUAUAAAUGCUUCAAUUAAAAGAAUGAUAAUGACAAAAUGAGGUCAAAAUAGAAAAUACCAUAUAAUAUACAUACAUACAUACAUACAUGCAUAUAUAUAUAUAUAUAUUGGUAUUACUAUCAGGACGUCUUAAUAGAAAUUUUUGUCAGGACCUUCAAUCUCAACCAUUGGAUUUGUCCAACAGUUGAGAUUUAAUUAAAAGUUUCUCUUUCUUCUGAAAUUCAUCAACAUCCUCAUUGCGAUCUAUAAAACAUAAAAGAUUGUGCUGGUUGAAGAUAAGUACCUGAUAUAGUCAAAGGGCAACCACAGUCAUUCUGCUCACAAUCAAUCAAAAGCAUCUUUGCCAGUUUUCCAGAAAGCAACCACCCACUGGAAAGCACAAGGUGACAUAAGGAAUUUAAAAAGCAAGAAUCUGACUCAAACAACAAAACCAUCUCAAUUAGAAAAACAGGCCAUUGUGUAUACAAGAUAGUACCAAUUACCACAAAAAGAAUGGCCCUAGGGGCCUAUCUCAGUGGUUUUCAAGUAGCUUUAUUUAGCUGGCCACCCAAGUGCGAAUCCCAAGGGAGGUAGGGGUUAAAAUGUUGAUUUGGGUUUUGUCCACCGUAUACCUUUUAAAAGAUAUAAUUAAAAAAACUACCAUGAACAGAACAGAAGCCAAAAAUGAGAAUCAAAAUUUCCCUCUUUUUAUUUUUGUGGUUUUCUUAAUAGGAAACAGUUUAACUUUUACUUUAAAAAAAAAAAUUGAUCCAGAAUAGUGAGAUGAGCCUCUGUGGUCCACCAGAAAAUUCACAAUAUGUUCAUGCUACAGAAAUGUCUCUACGGGACUAUCUUUAUCAUCCAGCCUGGUAUUGUAUAAAAAAGCAUCCAACCUAAAUGAAGAAGAAUCCUAAAACUAUUUAGAAACAGACACGAAUAAAGAUGAACUUUGUCUCACAGAAAACCAUUAUCCUUUAUAUAGAAUUCUCAAAGAUUAUUUUGCUCAUUUCCAUUCAAAUCAUCCAAAAGAUUAACAACUCUGAUUAUCUCCAAAAAAGCCUUAGCUUUUAGCCUUCAUCAUCGGCACAAAAAUCCACUAUGAAUAGGAAUACACAAUAUUCCAUAACAACCUAUAUCAGCUUUGCUAUCUUUAGAUGGUAUCACAAUUUCAAAAUUAUACAGCGGUGAAGAUAAAGGCACUCAAUGUUCUCCCAGUCAUUUUUGCACAACACACAAGAGAUAACAAGAGAACUUCAUCCAUAAUAGCAUAACUGCUCUCACAAAACAAAGGAAACUCUCCAUUUCCUUCUCUCCUUCAUAGAGAAUAUGGUCCAAAAUGGAGCAGCUUGAAUCAUCUCAACAUGCAUUACACCUGUUAAGUUACCACUUUAACUGAACCCAAAAAGAUUAUUGAAGUUCUAAUACAUCCUCUAAUGUACAGGACGCAUGGAUCAAACACAUAAACAAACAAAGAAGAGAACCUUUAUAAUUUGAUUAAUAUAAUAGGGGAAUUUGGAAAAGAAGACUGCUAAGUCAAAUUGGCUCUGAUGCCAUGAUAAUCACCGCUUAAGGGCUUAACUUGUAAAUAAGAGCCCAAUAAUGGUAUUUAAACUAUAAUAAUUGUCAGCUACAUGGAAUUGACUGCAGGAAUCCUCAUAACGCAAGACUGUCAAAUAUAAUACAAGAAAUGCAUGUAACAAAUACAAUAGAAUGGCAAUAAGACUUUUCAGAACAAACUGUACAGCUUCAAUUUCGCUUAAUAGCUUGCAAAGUCAUUAAUGAUACAACCAUCUGAUGUUAUUACAUAAAAAUUUACUUUAAAAGAUCCAGUUAAGUGUCAACCAUGAAAUUGGUAUAAAUGAAGAGAAAAGUAUAUUAUAACAAUGCGGCAAAAGAUUCACACAAGUUAUUGAGAUGUUAACAGAAAAUUAAUCUGACAACCCACAAAAUAAGUCAGGAAGAAACAAUCAAUGUAAAUUCCAAAUCAACCAUUAAACAGAUUCUCAUCCAUUUUCUCACACACGAAACACAAAAAUUUGAACGUUUGAUGCAAGAGAUUCACCUUGAUGAACCAUUACUGCCGUUAUCAAAUACACUUUCCCUUGAAGCUGAAUCAAAUAUGCUUGCCUUUAAAGCUGCUGCUGCAACCAAAGAAGGGGAACUGCCCCAAAGAUAAAAAUGAACAGUUAAAGAUGAGUAGAUAACAAAAUUAAGCCUUCUCAAAAAAAAAAAGAACAAAAUUAAGCAAUUCCAAAAAUAUUAAAUACAGCAAACCGCCAUUGCAAGUACAUUAAUGUAAAGACAUAUCAAGCAACAGAGCAGACAUGCAUUUCAGUGACACAGAAGCACAAAACACAAGCAUGGAAUUUUACCAUUUUAACAUCUUUGCUAGAAUAUUGACACCCCUGGACAUUAUUGCAGCACUACCAGAACCAGGAGACAGAUCCCUAAUCAAGGUGCAAAUGAUCUCAACCAUCCUGCAGGUUAAAAAUGAUGAAGCAACUAUUUUUCAAACUACAAGGACACAGAUAAUCAAAAUCACGAAGGGAAAUAAGCAGAAAAGGUAAUAUAAAUUAAUUGAUUACCACAUAUUCUUCUCCAUCGGCCCAUUUAAUGCAGCUCCUUGAGCAUACAAUGAGUUGCCUAUGUCCAUCAAUGCAAAACGUAUGGCCUGCACAUAGUACGUUGACAGGAACUAUGGUUAGAAGAAAUGGGUCUUCAAGUUAGCGUUAGGAGUAAUAUUACGUAAAAUCAAAGGCUAAAUGGCAUAGACAAUAAAAAAAAAAGAUGGCUUUAACAAAAAUUACUGUCUUUUAGCAUGAGCAAUUACUUAACUAAGGCUAUAGCACAGUACUUUCAUGGUUUAACAAACAUCUCAAAGCAUUCAAUUAGCAUCUUUACUAAAAACACCUUCGAGGCUACUACCAUCAACCGACAACUGACCUCCACUAUAUGUCAUCAUAAUGGUUGAAUUUUACCAUCUAUUGACAAUAUUAGGGUGAAGAAUGAGAAAGGGGGGAAGAGAGGUGAGUAUAUAUAGCGAAUGUAGGUGGAGUUAUAUAUUUCAACCCUCACCUUAUUUGUAUAUAUAUCACAAGCCAGUAGCCAAAUCACAAUUAUUCUUAAAAAGAUAAAAUCUAGUAUAAAACAUAAUACUCUUAACAAAAAUGAAUAAUAACUUUACCACUACAUCUAACCUAAAUUAGAAUGUUUCCAAGAAUACAUGUCAAUGAAAAACAAUUACAACUACCAAAAAGAAUUACCGAGUUAAAGGACACCAUUCGACUAAACAAAUCCAGAAUAAGAAGAGCUUCUGCACUGCUUUCUGGAUAUUGCUCCUGGGCCAAACGCAGGAGCAAUACGACCACUGCAGAUUGAUUAUACUACAAAAAAGGAGCAUGUGUCAGUAACAAAAUGAACAAGCAACUGAAAUUGCACUCAGAACCCAAAGAUAUUGAACUUUGCUCCUGGCCUUAUGAAGGAGGCCCAGAGGUCCACAUGAGUACAAAAAGGAAGCAGAAGACAACUAAAGAACAUACGUGAAAACCACCCAAUAUUAGGAACUUCUUGAUGUACCAUCCAAAGGCAGUGUUCAUAGCAUCACAUACAGAAUGCAACCAAACAAAGCAAAACAGGAGAGCAAGAGAGAAGGGGAAAAUAUUUUUUUCAUCAUGUAAUUAGUGAACCCACAGAUUAUUGGCAAACAUUAAUGGGAUGCCACAUGACAGCAUGUGAUUUGAUGAAACAGAUGAAAUUUCUAAAAUAUGUUGCUUCAUGCAUGUGAACAUAGUCCAACCUCGAAGCACAAAGACCAGAAGUACCCACAUGGAUAUUGCUAAUAAGUGCAAUUUCAAACUUACACCCAGAUAGUAAGAAAUCUAUAAUUGCAUACGCUACAGAUGAAGGAAGAAAGAAAACAAACUUACUGCAGGACUGACAUCAGAAAAUAUCCUUUACAUCAUCAUCAAUGCAUUCACAAAUCAACAAUGAAAAAAGAUAAAGAAAAAUGUUCUUAGAAAUCUCCAAAAGUCUUUAACAUGAGACAAGUAGCAAACACUUGGGAACCAUCCAGAAACUUAGAUCAUUUACCUCCCAACGAACAAGAGCAGUAUUGCCACCAAAGACUUUCAAAACCUGCCCUCGAGUUUUACUAGGAAUAAGCAAACCUUCGACCCCAGGAACGUGCAAUGGCUGGCGAGUUUCAACAAUCUGAGAGGUGCUAGUGCUAUCUACCAAGGAUUCACUAGUAAUCUCAAAUAAGGUAGAUAUACCAACAGAUUUAUCUAAAAAAUUAUACCUGUUGACAGGAAGAUUUAUUACAUAUUAUAUAGCAACUCAAUUAGCAAUUUAUAUUCAAAAUAGUAUCCGGAAAUAAAAAUUUAAAGGCACAUUCCAUAAAUUUCCAAAAAGUUCACCAAUAUGAAAAGAUUUCAACAGAUCAUCACAAAGUGAUUCAAUAACACUAAAAAGCCUAAGCUCAUAUUAUAAUUUAUUCGAACAAUAAGCAAACUAUAAAUUUACACGUGUAUCAACAGUCUAGCUGAAGAAUCUUGGCAUUAGAAUCUUUGGUUUUACUUGGAGUGUCAGAUUAAUCACUGCAAUCUAAUAUGAUAACACUUUUUUUAUUCUUGCAUAAUAGAGAAAGGUUCAUGAGUAAAAGUAGCUAAAGCUUAAGUUCCAGAUAAACAUAAACAGGGUCACAUUCUAAAUUUUUUUUUUUAAUAAAAAAACACUGUACAAGUUAAGCAAGCUGAGAUGAUCUGGACUUAUGCAAAAUAUCCCAUGCAACAGAAACCAGGUGUUUUACCUUAAAAAUAAUUAUAGUUUUCAAGUCACAGAAUGUAAGGUAAUCAACCAUAAUACCGUAAAUUAAAACAAAACAAAAAAUAAAAUUCCACUUACACACAUUCUGCAGGCCAUCUGCCUUCACAGAGAGCUGACAGAAAGCGAACAAGUUCCAAUGUCCUGAAGGGGAAUUCACCUCCUAAGUUGCUAAGAAAACAUCGAAUAGGACCAUCAACAAAACUUUCUCUAUCCCAAAACUGAAUACAAAGUGACUCCUACAGGAUGGUUGAGCAAGAGGAUCUCCAGUUAGUAAACAAUGAGCAAUGAAAUAUAAUUAAAAAGGAAAUCAAUGAGUAACCCUGAGGGGCAAACUGCUAAUUACUAUACAUCCAAACCUCUCCACGAUAAAUGUUGCAGAGAAUAUCCAGUAUCAAAUUCAGGGUACCAUCCUCUAACUGCAAAAAGGAAAGGGCAUCAUCCAUAAAAAAGAACCAGAAUUUUACCUUAGAAGCAAAAGCAGAUGUUCAACUACCUGAUAAUUGAUCUCGUAAGAUGCAAUAAAUGCAGAAAUAAAAGUCCUCAAUACACUUCGAUAACCAGCAGCUGUUCCCUGAAACAAUAAACAGAAAUUUUAAAAUGAAGCGUACCUUCAUCCCAGACAAAAAACUAAAUGCUUCACUAUGAAAAGUACAAAUCAAGUAAAACACUAGAAAAUACGCAGAGUCACCCAGAAGCAACAAUAACUCUAAACUGAGAACAACUUACAUCAGUUUCCUUUAAUAAAUCACUUUGAAGGAUAUCGAAAAAACAAUUCAAUGAUGCAGCUUCAAAGGCUUGACGAACAUAGCCAACAUGAUCAAUUUCCUAAAAUGAUUCAAAGAAAAAUGAGGUCAAGAUUGACAACAUCAAACAUAAUCAGGGAGAGGGAGAGAAGGGGAAGAAAAAGGAAACAAUGAAAACAUACUGAUAGCACAUUAUUUUCUUCUUUUCCUGGGAGUGAUGAAAUUAGGCAAAGAAACACUGCCCAGGCAAGGAUUAGCAGACCUGCUUCUUUCAUUUCAAAAACAUCCAAAGUUGAUAAUAAUGCGUCCAUCUCUUGAACAUCGUUUAAAGAAAAGACAAAAGCAUCCUGACUGAGAAAUGGAAAACAAUUAUGGUUGAACAAUUGAGCAAGCCAGAUGAAGAAAAGACAAAAAAAGGGGAAAAGAAAUUAUAUAAAAUAAAACAAUUGAUGUAAAAGACAAUAUCACAGAUAUGACAGCUGCUCCCCAGCAGAACCAGAAAAGGAAAGAAAAAAUUAUAGUAAUGAAACAAUCUAAGCAAAGAAGAGAUGAGAGAGAGGUUGAUUGAAAUGUCCUCGACAAAUCAAAUAUAGGUAAAAUGGAAUUAAUAACAAGCAAAAAAACCUGGAAGGUGUUUCGUCAUGAAUCAUUUGAAGAAGAUUUUCAAGGUCCAGAGUUUCUAUAAGUGUAAGCAGCAGCUGUAUUUUGGCAUCACAAGAUGACUUUAGUGCCUCAGUUGAAAUUGCCAGCUUUCCAAAAUUAUAAGAUCCAGAUGAAAUUCCCUGCAUCAUGAGUGUUUCCAAAUUCCAAACAAGGAUUAAGAUUAGAAAAGUUAAACAGGACAAUUGCAUACCUCAUAAGUGAGAAGAAUAACAUUAUACCUUAUAAAGAGAAUACAGCUUCUUCCAUUUCUCACCAUUACAAGUGCAAAAGGAAUCAUAAUAAAGAAGGAAAAGAAUGUCCAAAACCAAACUGUCUUCAAUAAGCGUUUCUUCGGCCCACAAAGUGAAAAGAUCAGUAUCCUGUAAAACAGUAAAAAAUCUAAAUCAAAUCUGAAGGUGCUUAGAUACAUUAGCUGAUGGGAAAAAUAAGCCACAAAGAUUUCAUGGUAAUGCCAUUAUACUACAGAAGAAAAUGAAAAAGUCAAAGGAGAUUAAAGAAGCAUAAGGGCUUACAGGAAAAGUGUUUAUGUGACAUAUACAUGAUUAUUGACUAACCAAACUUACUUGUGUGAAUAUGCAAUAAACAUGUUUGCACAUUAAUUACAUUGAACCAUGCUCUACUCAACAUCUUACAACUGUCAAAAAUUUCCAGUGACUCAUAGCAACUUUACAUCAUCAAACAUGUUGCAAUGAUAGAAUCAUUACUCAGCGGAUAGAUUUGAAAUGGUGAAGUCUUGAUUGUGCUUGGGCACUCAAUUGAUGCAUUUCGCUUCCCUGUUCUAUAAAAUGAUAUAGGUUAGGUAGUAGAAAACAUGAACUCAGGCAUACCAUCUCUACAGGAUGAGUAGCAGAUAGAAGGGCCUGCAGAACAGAAAACAAUUUGGCUUCCAGUCCAUCCGAGAUCAGCUUUAAUGCCUCCUUCCCAACAGCAUUCCCUUCUUUCAAGCUAGGAUCAACAUAUACUGCACGAACAUUAGUUGGAUUAGCAGCAAGGAAAAAAAACAAUCUGCUGCACUACAUUACGAAAUAGUUGAAAAACUAAACUGAGUCUAAGCCAUGGAAGUGUCCAGGUCAAACUGAAUGACCAACCGUUCCAUAAGAUGAAAGAACAGGGAAAUUGAGAAUUAAGACAUUUUCAAUAGGAAUUUACAAGCAUGCAUGAGAAUCCUUCUUGUACACUUCAACAAGCACUGUCGCUCUAUGUAAUACUGAAGCAAUACCUGCAAAAUCACAGGAAAGGAUCGAUGAAAAGGGUCAAACAACCAGAGCUACAUGCUUCAUCAAAUCCAAGUAAUUGAUGAAACAUCUCACUAAAGCAUCAAUCCCAGUCAAUAAUCCAACUAAAAUAAAGCAGGCCUACACCCUGCAAUAGGAAAAAGAAGUUGAUGAAUGGAUUCUUGAACAACAGAAUCAAAAGCCUAAAGCAUCAAUCCCAGUCAACAAUCCAAAUAAUUGAUGAAUCGUCUAAAUUAUAGAAUAAGAAACAAAACAAAAAAAAACUAAAACCACAUGCAAAACAAAAGAACAGCAUAAGAAGAAAGUGACUAACCACAUGAAUGGGCUCUUGAACAAUAGAAUCAAAAGCGACAUUGCGCUGCUUCUGAGUCCUUUCAACAAGAAUGUAUGAUUGCACCUCAUCUAAACACUGAACAAAGGACAAGUUACCACAAUAAAUGAUCAAAUAAAUCUAGAUAUGCUUAUCUUGCAUUACAAAAUAAAUAACAUCCAACCAUUCCUUUUGACAAUGUGCUGAAUUAGGUUACCCUAGUUAAUGGAUUUUCAUAAAGGGGCACUUUUGUGAAAAAUAAAUCACCCAAUUUGCAUAAACCUUAAAAAAUCUUUAAACAAGAAUCUAACAACAAAAUGCAGUUUUUAUUAAAAUUCCAUUCCUAAUCUUUACAAACAGAAUUAAAAAAAAAAGAAGCAAUUAAAGUCAAUUAAUCAGUAAUGCCGCAUGUAAUCCUUAAAAUUCACAAGAAACAAUACAUUAUAGCGUAUAAAUAAAAUUGAAGCUGCCGUUCAAAAUACAAGUUAGCAACUAAAAGUACUGAGAAACUCACUAAAUAGGGGCUAAUUUUCAAAGCCUGCUCUUUCAAUUCAGGCUUUAUAGACAACUGAUGAUGAUCACCGAGUUUCACUAUCUGCGAAUUCAACGCCUCCUUCGAUUUCUCAUUCGGUGGCUUGAAGCGCGACACCGUUUCGACAAACCACGCGCGAUUUUCCUCUAACUUCUUUGCCUAAAAAAAUUAAAAAACACAGAAAAUUCAUUCAAAAUAUACAUGUACACACACCUAUACUUACAUUACAUGCGUAUAGAGAGAGAGAGAGAGCGUGCGUGAGGGUGUGAAGUGCUUACAAGUUUGGGAGAAAGGUCGGAUGAGAGAGAAGCGGUUUCGAGCUCGGUGAGUAGCUCGACGAAGGGGUUCCACCAGAGAGAGGAAUCAACGGUUUUAGUACUGGCCAUUGAAUUGGAGGAGAUUUGUGAGCUUCAGAGAGCUAAAACCCUAGAAGAAACGAAUGUUUUGAUUUUUCGCGCUUUUUCAAAUUGGAGAAGAGAGAGUGGUAGGGCCCGAGGGGCCUGGAGGGCAUUAGUGUCCGUGUGAUUGGCUUGAGUUGUUUGUGCUGUGCUGCGUUGUUGGGCCACACGAGGCGGGCCGGGUUGUGAUGUUCAAGUGCACCCGACAACUAUAAUGGUUCGUCGUGCAAAUUUGACGGGUCGGGUCUACCCUGUUUUGGGUCUUGUCCAAAUCCACACACGAUUAAUGUAGAUAACCUACCCCCUAUGAUAUAUGGGAAACUUAUCCAUGUGAUCAUUUUAAAAUUUUCAUUGUGAAAACAAAUUAUACAACAAAAUUUCUUAAAUUGCUAAUCACAUAUAUAUUCGCUUGAGACCAAACUACCCUUAAAUAAACCAACCAAAACCAAAUCUACAAGCACCAGCUACACCCACAUUGCCCCCAUCUACUGUCACGGUUUUGCAUCGCCCACAUCGCCAGUUCCUUUAACAGUGGUGGCUUCCAUUAUAGUUUUGAUCAAAUUUAAAGAUUUGGUUUUGCUUGGCUUCACUUGGAGAAAUUGUUUUGCUCGUGCACAAUUUAUUUCAUGGUUUCGAUCGGAUUUGUUCUUUAAUUGCUAUUUAAAUUAUUCGUUUGAUGGAUUAUACAUGAUAGAUAAGGAAUUAUUAUAUGUAUUGGGCAUAAAAAUUUAUAAUUUUGUAAGAUUAGGUUUUGUAAAAUAUGGCACAUUAAAUGUUUGUUAAAAUACCUCUUAAAAAAUAAUUUCAAAUAUAUUGUUAAGUUUGAUGAGCAUGCCUCUAAUUAUAUAGUUUUUGAUACCAAAAGCACUUAUUUGCAAGAACUUAACUGAAAUUAGUAUGCCUACGAGCCAUCUCCCAUGUCAAUUUGGGCGAUGGCUUUCUUCGCAUGUACCAAUGUCAUUGUGGCCAAUGCUUCCAUCACCAACGUUCCAUCCCAAGGUUGUCAAUUUCUUUUACAGAAUAAUUUUUAAAAAAAUUUAUUAUAAAGAAUAAUUUAUUAUUUAUUCUCAUAUUUUUUUCCGAUUGUGUUAGGAGUGUUCAGAAUCUAAUCCAAUCCGCUCAAUCCGUCUGAUCCACAAAAAUUCAAUAUGUGGAUUGGUGGAUUGAAUUAAAUUGAAAAUUUAAAAAUCCGCAGUCGGUGGAUUGGAUAUGGAUUUAAUUCUGUAAAUCCGUAAAAAUCUGUGAAUCCGCAAAAGAAAUAAAAAAUAUAUAUUUAUUUAAUUAAAAAAUAAAACUUGUAAAUGGGGGGUUAUUAUUUACUAAUAAAUAAAUAAGUAAAAAUAUAGUUACAUUAACACUAUAUAUAUCUUAUCCGAUAAUAAUAUAUAAUAAAAAAAUUAAAUAAUUGAAUAAUUAAAUAAACAAAUAUAGCUUUUUUAACAGUUAAUUUCAUGUAUUGAUUUAAACAAAUGAGAUUUUUUUUUCACUGUGUUAUAUUUUGAGACUUUAAAUGUAUUAUUCUAUCUUUAUUUAAACAUUUAAUUUAUUUAAAUCUUAUUCAAUUUUGAAUUUGAUCAGUAAUAAAAUUAUUUUUAUAUAAGAUUUUUUUAUUUAAUGCGUUCAUAGAAUGAACAUAAUUAAAAAAUUUUAAUCCGCAAACUAAUUUGUAAAAUAGUGGAUUGGAUGUGGAUUAGGUCAAAUUCGCAUCUGAACCGCAAACAUAUGAAUUGGAUUGAGAUUGAAUUCGUCAAUCCAUUGAUUGGAUUUGAUUAAAAAUUUACAAUCUGUAAAAUCAUGAAUUGGAUAUGGAUUAAUGUCCAAUUCGCAAAAUCCGAUCUGCCAACGCCCCUAGACUGUGUAAUGUUAAAAUUAGCAAAAAAACAGAAAAAAAAAAAAUAUGAAUCUUGCUUGGGCAAUGGUGUGCCAAUGACCAUUGCCCAAAUGAAUCUGCCUUGGGCAAUGUUCUUCAUCGCCCAUAUAGUCCAUCGGCCCGAUAACUCUUGAAAUUUUUGGUUAAUUUGUUUUAAGGGCAAUUUAAUCCAAAGUAGGUAUAUGUGGUUAAUAAUAUAAGUUAUUUUGUUGUAUGAGAGAGGAAAUUAGACCGUCAAUUUAGGCAUAGUAAAUAUCCAACUUGAAUUUGGAUAUUGCACAAUUUAUAUUACACAUCCAUAGAUAAAUUCAUAAUUUAUUCAUAAUAUCCUCACCAUAUGAGGGUAUCAUUCUUGAGCUAAUAAAAACGUGACCAAUACUUUGACUCCUAACAAAUAAUUUCAAACAAAUUCAACAUGGAUUAAGAUUAAAGAGCAUAAACUUCUCAUACUUUUCAUAAAGAACAAAAGUUAGGGCACUUCCUAGAAUUUGGAGGAGUUUCGUGAAAUAAAUAGUUUUCAACAAAAUUAACGAAAAACUUAUUAUUUAUUUAAUAUUGUUCUAUACAUUCUAUUUUGCUACAACUACCCGUGCUCUUUUUAGGUGCAUUUCUUAAUUAUUAUAAUGACUUUCCCUAUAUGUAUAUAAUAAUCCUUAUUCUCAUUUUUACUCGUCUAUGAAGGCAUAAAGAAGGAAAUUAAUUACAAAUAAUUAGUUUAAUUAUUGUCCAACAAGAACAGGCAGAUGAUUAAAACAAACUCAUGAAUAUGUUUUUCCACAAUCUUUUAUAGAUAUUGAGUGAAAGAAAACAUUUAUGAAAGUGUUGGAUAAAUGUCUUUUCUUUUUCUUUUCUUUUUUUUUAAAUGUUCUGUCAUUACUUAUUUGUUUUAUUCACAUUAAUAACAAAUAGUAGCAUAACAUUCAAAUAUCAAUUAAGGUAUGCUUUUAUAUAUGUAAGGAACAAUAGAGUGUUGGACAAAAUCAAAAGGUUGAAGCUAUAUACUUGCACUCUUUGAACACUCAUUUGUGUAUAAAUACAAAAAGACAUAAUAAAAAUUUAUUAAUUGUUUGUUUAUUGAAUUAUGUGUUUUGCAUAUGUACUAAAUUUUGAAACUUUUCCAGAAGCUUUUGGCAUGUCCUGGAUGUAAGUGUGAGCAUAAUUAGUUUAUUAAAAAUCAAACAAUUCUAUCCCAUUCUAUCUCUUUCUUCUGGUUUGAAAAAUUAUCUUCUCUCUUUCAAAUUUCAAGAACAAAAAACCAAGAAACAUUAAUUUAUUAUAAGUUUUAGAAAUAAUUAAUUGAAUAAAUUGUCUUUGCAAAUCUUUGGUAAUCUCGCUUGCCCCUUAUUCUUUCCAUUGACACUCCAUUAUCCUGUGAAUGGUAUGUGGGGUGUGUUCUCCAAUUAGCAUCUUACCGUUGUUUAUAUUUACUAGUUAAUAUUUUUAUUUUUUAAACAUUGCAUUGAAUUUUUUUUUUCCCUUUUUGCAUGUGUAGGUUGCCAAGGCAUUUAUUGAAUAUGGAAUAUGCAAUUUUACAUAUUAGGGUGGUUAAAUUUAUAAUGUUGAUAUUGGUAGACGAAUCUUUGUUCAUUUGAUAAUUGUGUUUACUGUUAGAUACUUUUUCUUUUUCUAGCUUCUCAAAUUUAUUCGAAAAAUAUUGUUGGUUAAAUUGUAUAUCACUAAGGAGCUUAUGAGUUUUUAGUUUAUCUUUAAUACUAGUGCCUCCAUUUUGUUAUUUAAUGCAAAAAAAAAAAAAGAAUAUUUUGAUACGUGAGGAUUAAUUUUGAGUAGCAAUGAAAAACUAUUUUAUGGACUUUUAAAAUUUUGAAUAUCUGGCUUUUUUUUUUUCACCGAAGUUGGUUAUAAAUAAUUCUCUUUCAAAUGGCAUCGCUACAAUACAGAGUUCCAUUCAUGGGGACAUAUUUACCAACAGAUAAAACAUACAUAAAGAUUUUAUUUGCAUUAAUUUCUGAAUUUGUAAGUAAUUUAUAUAAUCGUGACACGUAUUUGUCCAUCAAGAAACAAUGAAUCAAACAAUUAUAGAAACAAGUAUUCAAUACUAACAUUUUAACUUGUUUCAUAGUACAUCAAACAAACAGGUGGUGGGCAAAAGAAAAAUUUGGUGAAGGGUCUUUAUUCAUUCUACAAAUGUGUGAAGUAUGACAAUCCCUCGUCUUAAUUCACUUUGCAAAUCUAAAAGUAAUCAUGAUUUAAUGCUCAUUUUGCUUCCCAUUAACAACUUGGUUCCCCUACAAAAAACAAGCAACAAAGCAAGACACUUUAUUCAAAAAUGUAUUUUUUAUGUUAAAAACAUUCUUUAUUACAAACCCAACAAUGUGAAUUCGCUUAUUUAUCAGCUUGCCAUCACUGCAAUCAUUUCAAUGACAGUAUUUAUAUGUACUCAAAUAAAAUUGGACUUGAUGCAUGCAAACUUUACGAUGGGUUCACUGUAUUACUAAAUUUCCAGUUAUUUACAGACAAAGAUUUUUUCCUUUUAUACCCAGCAUUGGCUUAUUCUCUCCCCAACCUUUCGAUUUGAUGCAAAAAAUGUUUUUCUGGGAGAAUGGAGUUGUGAAUGGGAAGCAGAAUCAGUAUCAAAGGAGAUUAUCAAAGAUUCAUUUUUAGAGGGAAUGGAGUUAUGAAUGGGAAGAAGAAGGAGCAUCAAUUCAGGAUUACCAAAGACUUGCAAGGCACUUGAUUUAAUUAAUUAUUUUUAUAUCUUCUAAUAAAUUAACGUUUCUUGGAUUUUAUGUUCUUAAAAUUUGGAAGGGGGAAGAUAAAAUUUUCAAACCAGAGGAAAGAGAGAGAAUUGGAGAAAAUUGUUUAACUUUUAAUAAAUUAAUUUUCAGGUUUAAAAAAUUAUUGACACAUGAUAAAAAAUAAUUAGUUAGUGGUUCCACAUCAUGUGACCACAUGAAACAUCAAAUGUAUUAUAGAAUUUCUUUAAAAAAAAGAAAGAAAAUGUGGAAAUAGAAUGAGAGAAUAAAAAAGAAAAAGAAAGAAAGAACAAGAAGAAGAAGGUAUAGGAGAAAAAUAUGAAACUAGAGACUAGAGAGAGAAAUCUAUGCUACUAAAAGGAGAGAAAACUAUAACCAUGUCUAAAAAGUUUUUCAAAACACAUAAAUAUUUUAAAUUUUUACAGUACGCUCCCCAGUACUUUAAAAUAUUUUUAUUUUGUGCCUAUAUGACAAAAUCUUUUUGAAUGGAUUAAAUUUUAUCUUUUUAUUUAAAAAAAUUAUUUUAAAAAAUAAAAAUUAAUUAAAAGUAACAAAUGAAAAAAGAAUAAUAUUUUACCUUUUUCAUAUUUAUUAUCAUUAUCAUUAUUAUUCUUUUUUCAUUUUGUAAAAGUAUUAAAAAAAUAUAGAUAUAAAAAGAGAAAAAGAAAAUUUAAGAACAAAAUAAAAAUGCUACCAAAGUUUCACCAAACCACCUUCAUCAUACAACUCAGAAAUCUUCAAAUUCUUUGCUUAUUCACCAAACUCAAAAUAAUAAACAAAAUAAAGUAAAGUCAAUAUAUUGCUAAUAGUAGGGUUAAUUGAAGAUUAAAUAUUAUUCAUAAUCUACAAUUAAGUAAUCCCAAAUGUGAAAUUACAGCCAUGAGGCUCUUGACUGCCGAAGAAUAAGAACAGUGACCAAGCUCUCGGCAGCGCUAUGACAAGGCUUAACAAUGAAAAAGCCCUUCGGAAUCAUCGGUUGGCCGAAACAUCUAGGUAAAACUAGAGGUGGUAAAAUAAGAUGCAGAAAAGAUACUUAGAAUUUGCAGACGCACACCCUCGUCACGGUAGUCGUCUCGCUUAAAAUAAAAUUAAAUCAUCUGAGUUGAACCAGAGCUAGCCACAUCCACAUCCUACCCAUACUUCUUCUCUUUCCGACUGGCCUUUAAAUUUAAUCUCCAUUUGUUUAGUUUUAAUCCAGUUGUUGAAAUCAAUUAGAUCGUACCAAAUUGAAAAACAAAAGUGCGUAAUAAAAACAAAUCACAUAGAUUAGAGGGACAGCAGACACCACUCUUUCGAACCCAUUCCCAUGACGCCCAAACCCAAAAUCGAAAACCGCACACCUUCCAUCAUCUUAAUUUCUAUAACGCUAUUGUUGUUGUAAUACCCAAAUCUUUGUUUUUAGGGAAAAAAAGGGAAUUAUGAAAGGAGAAGGACCUUUAUGUGUCGAGAUUUUCUUUCUUUAGUAAUGAGGAUUAUUAAUCCAUAAUUAAGAUUCAUGGGGUAAUUUUUUAAAAGAUUUACAUUUUCUAAGGUUAAUAGGGUUUCUUAAAAUUCCCUAUAAAUUUAUACUUUUCCUUCUCUCAUAACCCUAAAUCCAUAACGUUUUCUAUGAUUCUCUUUGUUGCUCAAUACUCUUUUACUCAUAUCCUAGAAUUCAAAUUUUUACUUAGGAGAGAGAGAGUCAUCAUUGUUGGUAAGUUUUACUCUCUCUAUGCCCUACUUAAUUCCUUAUCGUUGUGCUUUAUUUAGGAUUUUAUUAGCAUGAUUUUGGAUUGUCAUAGACAAUUUAGGGCGUAUUUAAGUUGUGUUUAGUGCACUAAUAUAUUAUUGUAUCAUAUUAGUUUAUCACUAAUGCAGUAACACACCGAACAAUUCUAGUAUGAAUAUCCUGAAAUAGAACAUAUAUUUUAUAAAUUAGUUUUUAGAAGAACCUUAUCUUUUUUGUAAACUAGAUAUACAUGGUUUAUUGAAUUCAUAAGAUUUGACUUUAUUUUCAAUAUUAUAUAUAUUUUUUGAACUAACUCUAUUGCAUUGAAAAACAACGGUUUUAACAGAAUGACCAGAUUUACAAAAUUAUUUGUACCUUCAAAUGAACUUGAAAACUUCUGAAACUUUAGAUAGAGGUUAAUAUAUGUGUCUAGUAUUUCCAAUUUUAAUUUCAUAAUUUUUGGAUUAAUGUAUAAUUUUAUAAAAAUCUCAGAAUCCAUAUUGUUCAAUCAAGGCACUGUGAGACAGUUUUUGAAUUUAUCCAGAAACAAAUAGUCUUGAAAGUGUUUUUGGUGUCAAGUCCUCUUAAACAAUUUAUGAAAGAUAUCCAUGGAUUUCUAGAAUGGUUCGUAAAAUAUUGUGUUAUUAUGAUUUCUAGAUUAAAAGUUAAAAUUCUAAGAAUUAGACUUGUAAGGGUAUAAAUUAGAAAACUAAGUUCUCAAAAUGAGUUGUUAAUAGUUAUAUCUUAUAUUUGUUUAAGGUGUUGGAGAUAUUUGAGGCUAUUAGAGGCUUUGAGAUGUGUUUAGACCAUUACUUUUAUUGAAGUAAAUAACUUCAUUCCUAAUAUACUGGAUGUGUACAAUCAUUUUGAUACUAUUAUAAGUACGUGUGUUUUUAUAGUUCUUUUAAAAAUUUCUUUAAAAAAUCAAUUGAUUUUCAUAACAAGAUUAGUUUAUGUAAAUGCUUUCAAAUAUGAAAAUUAUGUUUUUUUUUUUUGUUUUAACAUAAUAUUAUAAAUAUAUUUUAAGUAUGUAAUUUAUUUUGUUAGAUAAUUAUCUUUUAUGAAAUUAUCUCUAAAAUAUCAUAAUGGAAUUUGUUUUGCAAGCCUAAUUCAUUGUUAUGAUUUUUUAUGAGUUUGAAAAGAAUGUUUUGAUCACGUAUAUGACAGAGAUUAUUUAUGAUUAUUUGGGAGCCACCUCUCGAGGGCCAGAGUGCCGCAAAGUGUCACAUAUAUUAUAAAGUGUCACGUGCAAAUCAUUACAUAUGAAAAAUGAAUUUAAAUAUUUUCACUCAUUGCACGUAGUUAUUUUGAUUUUAAUUCUGAUCGUAUUAUACGAUAUAUAUGUUGUGGACUAGUACUGAGUUUCUGUUCUGAAUGUGUACACGAUAUUCUAAUUCUGAUUCUAUUUUGGCUGGGUUACCGGGAGUAUAUGUGAUACUAUGUGAUAUGAGCUAACCUUUCUGUUUUCUGUAUAUCUGCUAUACGAUUUGCUCACGUGAUUAAUUAUGCUUUUGAUAUUCUGAAUUAUUAUGAAUUUAUGUCAUCUUGUUGUAAUAUGUCAUUUUAUGAAAUUUAUAAUUUAUAACAUACGUUUUGAUUAAAAAAAAGGCUUACAAUAUUUUUGGUACCUGAUAAACCUAGUGCGUUGGAAUUAGUUUUACUUACUGAGUUGAUCGCUCACCUCUUAUCAUUACUUUUUGCAAUUGAGUAGCUUAUUGAGAAAUGUGCUUAUCUUUGGAGCUAGAAAUUCAUUUAAUUUUGUUAGUUGAAUAAGAGGAGGAUGAACUUCUAUUUUCCUCAAGUUUGUCUAUUUAUGAACUUGUAUUUGGAGAGUUUUAAGACUUUUGUCAUAUCUAUUUCUGCGGCAGAAAAUAUUUAGUAUUAGACAUGUGGAUUCGUGGAUUUAUUUAAAUAAAAUUUAGGAUAUUUUAAUUUAAGAUUUUUGUGUAAGGAUCUUGAUUUGUGAGUAACCUCUUUUAUCAUUUGUUCUGCAUGUAUUAGAUUUGGGAUGUUACAAUUAAUGCAUCAAUUUGGAUAGGAUUUUGACAAAUUUGACUCAGGCUAUUGUUUCUUCAUUCCUCUUUCUCCUUCUUUUCCUAUUUUUUUUUUCCUUCAAAAUUCAUCAUUGCUGAAUGUAACUUUAAAAACCCACUUGCACAUUGCACAGACACACACAUUCGUCUAAUUCUACCUUCUUUUGUUAAUUUCAACAAAAUUUAAUGCUUACUGCUAAAUUUUAUUUUGCAUGUGACUUUCGCCCAAUAUUUUCAAUCUCCCAACAAUUAAUUGGUUGUUUUGGGUUUUGGAUUUUAUAGAUUCUGACUUCUGGGUUUUGGAUUUUAUUCUGUAGAAAUCAAGUUUUAGUUUUGAUUUAAUAUUGGAUUUGAAUGAUGAUUGUAAGGUUAUCGUAUACAUGAAAGGAAUGAAGAAAAAAUGAAGAAAAAGAUGAAAAAAGGAUGAGAAAAAAAAAUAAAUGAAAGAAAAAGACGAAGAAAAAUGAAAGAAAAAGAUGAACAUGACAUGUGUUGUAAUUUUGAAAUUUGAUUUUUAUGACAUGAUCGUGAUUUACUUAUAAUUUACUUAUCGUAUACAUAGUUGAAUUUUGAUUUUUACCCAAAAAAAAAAUUGAAAUGAUUUUGAAUAAACCACCAUGGAUGAUUCAAUUCUUGUACAGGUUUCGUAUCUGUUGCACUAGAUUUCUGAAAGGUUACUAAUGCAUGUUUUUAAGCGUUGUUUCCAUUAAGUAAGAACUAUGUUUUGGCAUGAUUUGAGUCAUUUUCAUAUUUUGUACUAGAUGGAGGAUCAUGACUUCUACUCUCACACAUUCUCCCCUCUCUCUGUGUCACCUUCAUACAACAAUGACUUUUUUAUUUUAAUCUAUUUUACUCUUUUUCUUUUUCUUUUUAAUAAAAAGGGAGGAGGUGGUGAUUGUAUCCAAGCAAACGAAAUGCAGCACGAGUGCCCCCACCUUAACUACUUUCACAGAUUCCCCCUCUCUCCGGCUGCCACCGUUGAUCCCUUGCCUCGUGAGUAUCGUAGCAUGGGGCCCAAGAGAGAUCCAGAAAAUCUGGGAGCCCAUGUGAUUUUGAAAUCAUCGCAUUAUUUAAUGCAGAUCUGAAAUUACGCCGAGUUUCACGGCUUUAGAAAAGUAAAUUGAAUCAUUAAUUUUUUCUUAAUCAAUGGCCAACAAUAGGGAGCGGGCUUUUCCCAUUUCCAUCAGGGCCUCUUUCUCUCUCUCCUCUAGCACCCGUGGAAGUUUCCCAUUGGCUGCUGUUACGUACAGAAGCUGUAACAUAGACUUCUCCGUGAUUCUGAUACGCUUGCGUUAAAAAAAAAAAAUCUGAAAGUCCUCAAUUUUCUUAGUUUUCCUUACAACCACUUACUGAAAGUCCUCAAUACCCACCUACCAACCGAAGAAAGUCACUCAAUACCCACCAACCGAAGAAAAUCCUCAAUUUUCUGUUGGCAAAUCUCUAAGAAAUCAGCCACCACCGUUAUCCUCCCCAUUAAUUUAAAAAAAAAAAAAAAAAGAGCAAAGCCAGCACAACGGAUGAAAUCGCCUCCGAUUCUUUUGUAUUGCCCAUCUCUCCGAACCUUUCAAUUCUAUUUUUGGGCAAUUUUGUUAAUUCUUUUGAAUUAAGCUUAUAGAAUUUGGAUAGAGAUGUUUUCGGAUAUUUAUUAAUUUUUUCCAUCACCUUUAAUUUUGUAAGUUUGACAUCAAUUAUUUUUGGCCUCCCUCUCACAAGCUAUUGAAGUUUUUUUCUGUCAGGUUUUUCGGUGAUAAUUAUUUGAUUAAUUGUGGCUUGCAGGUAAGAAUUAUUAUAAUUAUUUUCUGAUCUUGUUCCUAAUUCCUUGGAUUUUAAUUCACAAUUAAUUUUAUAACAAGUUAAAGAGACGUUAAUUAGGAUAGAUUCAUUUCCUUAAUAUGGGCUUUUCUACUUCAAUUUAAUUGUAUUUUAUUUUUUUUUAAUUGCUAUGCAGGAAAUCAAGAGCUUAGGAAGAAAAAAACAUGAUAUUCAACUUUCACAAAGGAUUCAGUUGCAAAAUCCACCCUGAUUCUAUCUUUUAUCAACACCAAAAUAUCAUUACAUUACCGCCAUGUAGCUAUUAUUUUGUGUUAUAAUACUUUUUUUUUUGGUUAUAAACAGAAGCUAUUUCGUGAGUUUGAGUUUUGACAUUUGAAUGGAAAAAUUUGACACAAUAAUUUUAAAUUAAUUAUAAAAUUAUAUGGUAUCAUAGUGUUAAAUAAAAGAGGGGUGCCAAUAUAUUUUUCUUAUAAAAAAUUAUUCUUAUAAAACCCCUCUUGUUAUACAUUUACAAUUUUAUCCCUUAAUAACUUGAAUUGUAUUAGUUGUAAAAUUUUAUCUUAUUAAAUCCAUAUAUGAUUUUUCUUACUGACUCUUUAUCUGCUAAAGCUCUUAAAAGUUACAAUUUUUUUUUUUUUGAAAAAAAAAGGUCAAUUGUAAAAGAGUAAGAAUUUGAUAUCAAUUAUUUUUUUCACUUAACAAUUUAUUUUUGUAGGAAAGAUAAUUUUAUAAAAUUUGCAUAAAUUACUAACGUUAUUAGAAUGUUAGGAGAUAACUAAAUUUUGUGUGUAUUUUAUACAUAUUUAUUUUGAAAUAGACUAUCAUUAACUGAAAAAUAUAGAACUAAAACAAAUAAAAACCUCAUAAUAAAUUAAGUGGGAGUGGUUGAAGAGUGGUAACUGAAAGGAGUUUGCGGGAAAAUGACGGAUAAAGGCUAUUUGCAGAAGAAAAUUACUCAGUCAUUGGAUCUCAAUAGAUCCAGUGGAUUCAAUGGCUGGAUGCAACGGUGGUACGGUACCAGUGUUGUACUGUAUCCGGACCAACGCAAAUUACGCCGGGUUUCAACGCUCGAGACCAGCGCAAAUUUCGCCGGUAUUAGUGAGAUGUUUUUACAAUGCUCAAUUAUAUAACGACGUUUUAUCAAAAAAAAAAAAAUUAUAUAACGACGUUUCUCACUAGCUUUGAUUAUAACGACUUUGCUAGUUUCGGUUCCAAAUGGGGUUCCUACCCGUGUGCAUCGUGGCGGCCAUGUUUUUUGCGGCGAACUUUGGUGCAGAUUGUAGACCGGAAAAUGGAAAUGCCAAAACAAGAGGGCUCCGCCAGCUGUAUUUCGAAGGUAAUUUCAAGGUACGAGUCCUCGAAGAAAUUGAUGCAGACCGUAAUCUGAAGGCCACUUUUGGUGGGGCCAGCAAGAAUAGGAAACUUAAGUUUUUAUCUCCAAUUUGUGAUGCAGUCUAUUGUUAUACUCUUCCGCCGCCGCGUCGCCCACCCGUAAAUAGCCCGCCAAUUCGUAAUUGCAAAUUAUAUGUGAAUACAACCUGCCACCUAAAGUAUUUCUUUUUAAUAAGUACUUUGGUUUGUUUAGUGUCUUUGUUUUGAGUUGUUUUUCAGAGCCAACAAGGGCAUAUAUUUGGUUAAUAUGAUGAAUAUAUGUGAGGUUUGUAUGCUGGUGAUUGGUUCUUCUGCUGAGUAUUUGUAGUUUGGUUUAUUUGUUAAUAUAAAUGAGGGUUUUAUGCCGCUGCUAGCUUCUGCUGCUGUGCAUCUGUAUUUUGGUUUGUUUAGCAUCUCUGUUUUGAGUUGUUUUUUACGGUGGGCCACCAUGAAUCAUGUUACGUUGCAGUUCUCUGAGAACGAAGGAAAGGAGCUAAAUAUCUUCCAUAACAAUACUGUGAUUUACUUUUAAAUACUGUGAUAAGUGUAAAUUGAGGACACUUGGCUAUGUCCAAUUAUUAGUAACUCUUUUGUAUACAGAUUUGAAAUUUAUGGCAGCCCAAACAUAAUUUGGCCCCGAUAAACUACAUUAAUCUAUAAAAAAAUUCCUUUGCAAAGAAAUGAAUGUUGAGUCAAAUAAUUUAAAAAAGGCAUUAUGAGGAAACAAAUGAGGUUAAGUUGAUCAGUAAAUGUGCAGCAUAACAUUAAUAGGAUUGUGCAUCAUGCAACCGGAAAUGGAGUAACGGGUUAAAAAAAUUAUAUAAAUGAAGUUCUUGAAAAAGGAUGGAGUUAAAAGAAAAAACCGAACGUAAGGCAUUAAGUUGACAUGAAACAAUGUUGAAGCAAAAGAAAAAACAUUAUCACAAGUAUAUCUGCAAUACAAAAGUAGAAGAUUACUACAUAUCAUUGUAUUAAAGUUGUUCCAACAAAAGACUGUAACAUAAUACUCGAUAAUAUGAUAAAAUAUGCAAUAAGGUCCAUAAAUAAGACAGCUGAGCUAUAACAAAAUACCGGUGGCUACAAAGUUUUGUUACCCAUACAAUGGAAAACAAAACUUGAUUCAAAAUGCCCACAUUGCAUACCAUUAAAAUUAGACCACCUUUCCAUACAAAUACCCAACAAGAGUUUAAUGUGGUCAUGCUUCUGCCAACCAUAUACUUGUGCUAAUAGUCAGACAAUUUGAUCCUUUAACAUAGACACAACUAUCUUGUGCCUGAGAAUAGGGCCAUCAUGAGGACCAAAAUUAAAAGGAAAUCCACUGCAUAAGUACUCAAUUAUCUUGAGCACAAAUACACCACAGUCCCCAGAACCAGGUUGCUGUUGGGGUACGCCGGUAGUCACCCUAACGACGUCGUAAGGAUCAGUGGAAACACAGAGCAUUGGACAGUCUCUGUGGAAUCCUGGGCAAGCAAUCAGCAAUCGAGGCAACAAUUCUCUCAAGCAGCUAGUCCAUUUAAUUAUUUGUUCAGUUGGUAUAAGUUCUGUUUGAGGAUCAUCGAUCGUAAUUCGCCUUUCGGCAAAACUGAUUUCUGCUGUAACCCAAUGUGCACCACCUAAGUUGAUGGGCAUAUAUACCUUGAAAGGGAAAUUUGUAAACAUUACAUUAGUUGAUUAUAAUCAAUACAUUGUAUGAUAGAGUAUGAGAGACAUGCAUAAGUAUGCCUUCUUCUAGAAAUCAGUACAUAAGUUUGAUGAGAUAUUGUAAUACACAGGCAAUAUACAUAAGGAUAUAAUGUCUGAUUAAAUGAACAAACUGUUAAAUAUUUUAUAAUGAGGAAAAUUUUACUUAUCCUCUCAAUUUUAAACUGAAACAAAUAUCUUCGUAUUCACUAGAUAAAUAAGGUCAUAUAAACAUCAGCCUUAGGAGUGAAAUUGAGUGAAAAUGCCACAGAAUCAGUUCAGAAUACUGUUGAAAAGUGAAUAUAAAUAGUUUGUUAUUAACUUGCAUUAAAUUUUUCCUAAUGUCUGUAUACUCUCCCUGUUAUUGUGUUAAUACGACAAGAAGCAUAUUGUGCAACCUUUUUAUCAAUUGCAUAUUAAAUGACAACGAUGUUUGUGCACAUAUAAGAACAAAGUCCAUUCAUUAUAAUGAUAACAUUAUGAUGGAUGUGGACCAAAUGACAGCGCAAAUAUGAAAAUUGGCUAUAGAGAUUACUUGCCUGGUCAACAGACGACCAAGGUCUCUCCCCCAUCAUGAAUCUAUUAAUUAGACAAUGAUCAAACUGCACCUUGUGGAUCAUUUUGCGUGAUGUUUCCAUCUCCGUCCAGAUCCCAGAAACAUUUACCUACAAUGUUAUAGCGCCCAAUUAUUUACCAUCAACACAAUCACAUGUUUCAUGGGAUGUGUACAUAACAAUAUAUAUAUAUAUAUUGUCAGAACUAUUUAAAAAUGAUGAACCACGUCCCCAAAAUAAAUUAAUACUAUUGUCAAGUAUUGUAAUCUAUGAUUUUGCUGAUAUUCCUUUAAAAACUCAACACUCGAAUACCCUUUCAGUAAUCAUGUAAAUAUUCGAGUUAUGUACUUUACAUUAGUGAGCUAACUGAAUUUGUCCUUGCCUAAUGAUCGUCUGGAGUUCUCAAAUCUCUAAUUUUUGUAAGCCGUAUACAAUAUCAAGUUGUGUAGUCUUGGUAUCUUAAUGAUGCAUUUUAGUUCGUUUUAAUACAAUGAAUAAAUAAUUUAAUUACGAGGAAUGUAUUUAAGAAACAUAUAUAAUUUAACUUGUUUAGUAAAUUGUAGUAUUAGUAGAAUAUAGUUAAAAGUUAAAGUUGUACUCUAUUUAUCGCACACAUGUUUGUAAUCUGUCUAUAUAAUGCAUAUAACAUAAACUUGUUCACAAUUAUCAAAGUUUUCCAAAUUACAUUUAUGCCGCGAAGGUCAUGGUCAAUAAAACCAUAAUACAAAGUAAAGUAGAAUGAUAAUGUCAUAGUAUAAAUUCAAUUAUUUUAACAAAAAGAAAUUCAUUACCCCAAAUUCAGUAUCAAUGCAAGUGCACCUCUUUUCCUACCAAACUGUGGAGUUGAUCAGCCGCUGCUUAACGAGCCUAAGGUAAACACUCUCUGUGCUGAAAUUUAACAAAAUGACAUUUGUUAUAUUUAGUAAGCUCUCUUGUGUACGUUAUAAACGAGCAAAAGAGAUAAUUUACAACUUACAUCAUUGUUCAGCCAAUCACCCUGGACCACUGAUUGAAACCAAUUAGAAUCAACGAAAAGCACUUCUUCAUAGAAAUUUCUCACACUUAGCCCUUCAAACUGAAUGUCUAUCAAGUUUUGGUAUUCAGCUUUGGCCUCAGCUUCUAUUAAGUGCAGUUCUUCUACUUUUGUUGUCACAGCUGGCAGAACUCCUGUGCAAGGGCCUGUAAUAUUAACUGGUACUGGCAAGCGGUGCCUGAUUUGUACAGCCCCAUCAGCUUGCUGAAAUCUACUUCUCUUGUGCAAUCCCCUGGUUCGCCGAAUGGCUGCUGCUGAUGAAACUGAAAACAGUUGGGCCCUUGCAUCACUACUAUCAUAUUCCAACUGCACCCCCUGUUUUUCAAUUGCCAAAGUUGUUGUUGGUUGUUAGACAUAUUAGUACAAACUGCUGGGUAUAAUAUGAUUUUCAUCGUGCAAUAAUAACAUCAAACUAUCUUGGUCUGCACACGCUGAUUUGGUCAAUUUAAGCUGUCGUGUAACAAUUAUUGUUAAUGCCUGGAACAUCACUAGCAUGAUGUGUACAUGCUGUCUGUUACCUAUCGUAGGAGAACAUAACUUAUUAUUAUAUUUGACCGUGGAUUAUCUAAGGACUACAGGAUAAUAUACUAUAAUUAUACUUAAUUACUAAUUCGUUGAAACACUUAUAUUAUCCUUGAAUUAAUGAUAAUAAAUGCCUUUAGUCUCUCUAAUGCCACCCAAAUUUCAGCUUAUCCCAUACCUGAUUAUCAGCAUUACUGUCAGUGGGAGCUUCUUCAUUCUCCCAUAAUAUUUCCCUUUGCUCUCUAAGCUCUUCCAUCAGUAUUUUGUAAUGAAUUUCCAGCUCUUCAGCUAUAUUAUUCCUUAGUCGCUUAAUACCUGUCAUUAUGUCAAUCUUCAAUUGUGAGGUUGCUGCAGCCACCAUAUUUGAUAAGAUCUUAGUCAGUCGUCCUUGUCGUAGCACAGUGCUAUCUUCAUUAUCCUGUAAUCAAUAAAGUUGUAAUCAUAUUUUCGAUCUUAUACUGCAUAUAAACGUGGAUAUUUUUGUAACAAAUAAAAGAAGUUAGGGUUGUGGUCUUCAGCAUUCUACUCAUUUCCAGUGAAGUAAAGAACAACAAUUGGUCAAUUCUCUAGUAAACAAAAUGGUAAAAUUAAUUAAGGCCUACAUUUGAUCUUCUACUCAUGUAAAUCAUAUUCUUUUGUUGCAAUAAUAAAUUAUAGAGAUGUUAGAGCGUCUUCUUUGUGGGUACGUUAUUAACAGUCGUAUGCUUAUAUUUUUCCUUCAUACCAAAAUAUAUUACCAUGGCUGUUACAAUAUAAGCUGUUGAUUAUGAAUACUAUCAUCAAUCGAUCUUUAUUUUUGUUUGGAGCAAUGUUGCUGUUUAGUAAAAGAAGCAACUGAAUAAUAUUAUAGACUUGUCAGUGGUUCUAUGACCCUAUGCUUUAAAACAGACUCUAUUUCCUGAUAUACAUGGUUGGUAUUAUGCGUGUCUAUAUCCUUAUGUUAUGAAGAGAGAUUGACGGAAUAACUCCAAUUUCCAUCUACUAUAUAUUCAGGCUCAAUGAAAUGUAAAACGGAAUACAUGGGAUUUCCAGUAUACUUACAACAACAGCUGAUGUUGCCUGUACCGUAUUUUGUCCUUCCCCAUUCUUGGAAUAGUUGCCAUCAACCAUCUGGACCAGUUGUGCAGGCCCAUUAAUUUCGAUCACACUCUUGUAGUAGCUGCAAUCUUUCUCUUUAUGCGAUGCCUCUAAUGUAACCGGUACAGCAGACAAUCGGUUGCUUCUUGUUGACAUAAGAUGCAAUCUAUUUGUUGCAUCAUCUGGCUGAGUCCGUGCAGUCCAUCGAAGAUUCGGGGAACAAGAUCUUCAUCCAGCUCCCGUCCAUAUAAGUGGCCUAGUAUAUUUACACAUUCGUAUAUCCAUAGCUGCAACAUGAAGCCAAUACAUUGAUUAAUGCGACUGUGUUUAAAACAAAAAAAAUAAUAAACAAUAAAAAGGUUACCUAGAAACAAUGUGACCCCAUGAGUCAUAAUAUUAUGUCUAAUCCACCUUAUUUUCCCCUAUUAUGGUUGUUUGUCCAUUAUUCAUACACAUGAAAGUUAAGUAGUUCUAUAUAUGUCGUUUUGCAAACACUAUUAAACCACAACAUUGAAAUCAUUUAUGGACAAUUUCCUAAUGAUCUGAAGCAACCGUUACACAUCAAUAAUAUAACUACAAACAUUACACAAUUAAAAUAUGACAUGAGCAUAUUAUAUCGUGGUCUAUCACCUGUUCCUUGGUAAUGCAUAUGAUUCUGAAUUACUUCAAUGUUUGCAGCCCAAAACUAUGUAUAAAAAAUCUAUAUGAGGCCCUUGUAGUCUUAUCUAAUAUGCAAAUUGGUGGUUCAUGAACUAUGUAAUGCACUUCAUUCAUAUAUUACCAUUAAACUAUGACUUCCGAAGUUUAUUUCAACCCAAAUAUAUACACUAUUAUAUUUAGUAAAUUACCGUCUGCAAAUGGAAAUUAAUAGCCUUGCACAAAUUGGAGUGGCAUGGGUAAUAUCUUUACUUUAUUAAUAAUUUACAAAACCAUCAAAAUAAUUAAUUAAUUCACAAGCUAUCAUCACUAUAUACACUAACACGUUAUAUAUGCGACUUCAUAACGACAAAUUUAGUUAAGCAACCCUGUUUCUCCAUCGAUUGUCGUUUGCUAUUUGUUAACAUGGUCCAGUUUAAAGAAUAGAUUAUACCUGAGCUGCAAACGCAAACCCUCUCAAGACAAAAGUGUGAUUGGCUGGUCUUAACAUAGUCGUUUUGCAGCGUACGUUUUGGGUAGCCCAUGAAUUCAUGAUCAAUACAAUCGAAUCAUAUGUGGGCUCCCAUACUAAUAAGCCCCAUGGAUAGUUAUUAAACAUUCCAAUAUCCUGUGCAAGUCGAAGCCACUCUGUGUCGAUUAUCGCUUCAUCUGGUAGUCCGAGCAAUGUCCUAUGCAAGAACAACACCAUUGCAAACCUUACUGCAAUUUCAUCUUUCUCAGCAGACCAAUCUAUUGUGCUGAAUUCGUCUUCAAACUCCACCAAAGUGACAGGUCUGUCCAUUCCCAAGUUAGUCCAAUCUGGAACAGUCGGGAGAAACUUGUCAAAGCUAUUUUCAUUAUCCUCCCUCGGUCCCAUCUUCAAUCCAGUUAUGAGUGCAAACUCUGUUUUAGAAAACCUACAUGGUCUUCCCCCCAGAAGAUACCACAACUGAUCCUCGACAUUUUCAGUAUACAACUCGCGAACAAGCACGUUGUGAAUCAAUUUUCCCUGAAAUGUUAAAUCUGUUGGUAGUUGGAGGAAAUGGCCAAAGCAAGUUGCACGAAACAUUGUUGUUUGUCGUGGAGUAAGAUUUCUUCUAAUCAUUUCAAUAAUUCUGAGUUUCGAGCUACACUCGACCGCUGCAGGUGGCAAAACAGGUGGGGGAAUCUUGUACUUUAACCAAAUCUUUGGUUCUCUCCAUGUUAGCCUCCCCUUCAUUCUCAGAUUUGCUUGAACUGUCAAAUUUGACAAGAACAUCACUUACAAUAAAUCCCUGACUAUGGAAAGAAUAAUUUAUUGCAGUUUCAAUUUAUACAUAAUUUUUUAUCCACUUGAAUGUACUAAAUAAAUACAUCAAAUUUAUUUCACCAUUCUCAGCAAUAUUUUAAACUGUCUAAUAUUGACAAUCAUUUGCAGUUUUUUAAUGUUACCUCACUUACCAAAAAAUAAAAAAUGUCACCUAUAUUUUGUCAUAAGCAUUUUUUUCGUGCUGCUUAUCAUUCCAGCAUUUGUUUGAAGUUUUUUACAGUUAUAUCAAGUCAAAUGAGUUAUGCUCCCUAAUGUAGCCCCCCAAGCUGAGAAUUCUUUUCUAUCAGUUCAUUAAGGAAAUUGCCAAUGUAAAACCAGUAAUUUCAGAAAAUAUUGGAUAAUAAUUCCAGUAAUUGCUAAUAAAAAUUUUAAUAUACUAAAUUCAUAUAGUUGUUGUGCUUACUUUCACUUUGCUAUACGUAAUUACCUCUAUUUACUCUUCUAAAGAAAUAGCAUGAUAUAUCACAUUAAGACAUUCAUGUUAUCAGUGGCCGAACAAAAAAUUUCAGUUUGUAGUUGAGGAUGUACCUUGUGCCAUUUAACUCUGUGAAUCGCUGGGCCAAAAUCACCUUAUAAAUAGAAAUUUGAUUUCAAACAUUCACCAUUUUGUCUCUAUUGUCCUUGGCCUUUAUAUAGUCUUUACAUUUCUUUGCGCCCAAGGAUGUUGGCAAACUAGUCGCCAUUGUUUCUGUCAGAAUGCUUUACGCUCAGCAACUGUUCAUUUUCUCACUCCCACUUCCACGAGUUUGCUUUUAAAUGUUUAUUUUAUUUUUACUUCUUCUUCAAGUAAUAAUUAACUGAAGGGAUGCUGCUGUAUCUGAUUUGUUAAGUUCAACACGCAACCAACAUAACCUGUGCCCUGUCUCCUUUCACCCUUCUGACAGACUUAUGGCCCAAGUUUGAGGAAAUUUUCCCUGCGGCCCAAAUCGUAAGAGGCUUUACACUUCUUCUUCAAGAAAGAGUUCCACCUCUGUUCAUCCCUGGCAUUUUGUUUCUUGGAUCAGAAGGCGUGCAUUUUUCACUUAAUAAUUGCGUAAUGCUUAAAAACACCCAAAACAGAAUGGCGUUAAUCUUUUUUACUUCAACUUUGACGCACCGGUAGUAAUUAAAGGCCAUGCCUUGCGGCCCAUGCCUUAUUUAUUGGCUGCUUCCAAUGUUUAUGGCCCAUCCAAAAGAACAUUCAAUUUUUUUACAUCUCCGCAGGUCCCUUACGUUAAAAUUAUGUAGCCAUUCAUCCCCUUCAUACCCCCCAAUUACUCUGAUGAUAACUAUUUUAAAUUACACCUUUUUUAAUAUAACAUGAAAAGAAAUUUACUAUCUUUUGAAACGCAAUUAAAUGCUUCUCUCUGCAUAUGCGAGGGGAAGAGCUAAAUAUCAUUAUAGCAACCACAUAUUUGUUGAUAACUCGCCAUGUUAUGUUCUAUGCUUCAUAUCAGUAUCCGUUUAAUUAUUACAAUAGAUGCCUAAUUUUUAGGUAUUUUAAGGAAAUUUCAUACAAAUAAAAUGCGGUAUUGUAUAACUACACAUUUACAAGGGCUGUUAACAGGUGCACUCCCAAUUUUCUCCUCCCAUCCACGUCUGAUUGUUCCCCCCCAACACCCCACCACCCCACCCCCCCCCCCACUGUGGAUUUUUGACAUACUUUGUGAAGGAUGUAAUCCAUGUUCUAACUACUACAUGUACCAUGCAGCCACACAACUCAACCUUUACAAAUUCUCAAACCACACAUAUGGGUGAAACUUAUUUUUUCGAUUUUGACACUAACAGAUUUUCUGUCUAUGUACAUGAUUAAGUUGAUUUAAUUUUAUUACCUAUUACGGUUAACAGAUAAUCUUACCCUACAUCACUUAAUUGUCUGCAAUGAAGCACAACGGGACUCAUUUGAUCACGAAAUCCAACUCAGAUUUUCUUAAGUCAUCUAACAUUUUCCAUUGUUGUAGUUGUUGCAGGUCCCGCAAUAUUUCCUGUCGUGAUUAAAACAGAGCUGUAAUGUUCAGAUACAUACAUGUUGUCUGUGUGAGAGGGAUGCAACUAUAUGCCAUUGUCAUCUUCCUUUGCAACCGCGUAUUUAUCCCAAGGAUGUCAUAGCAUCUCCGGAAACUUUUCGACUGGGUUCCUAUACAUUGGUAUUCCCAUUAUGCAGCAUCCUGGCCAGCCGCCUAAACCUGUGACCUUAUGACUAACACCAGCCUCCCCAUCUUGUGCCUCCCCCAAACUGAUUGAUUAUUAUUUUUUCACUAUCAUCUUGCUCCUUCAUGCCCACCUGUAGUGCAAAGCAUUACGCAUGAUUCAUUGAACUGCAUCAAUUAUCACACUAGAUAAUCAACCUAAAAUAAUAAAAAAAAAAACAAUUACGUGAUGUGAAGUCCAUGACCAGUAAACUUUUACAUCAAUCACAUUUAGUUAGGCCCGUAUCCGAUUAUUGGUUAAUCUGUACUUAUUAUGUAUUUAACAGUUGUUUCUGGCCAAAACGAAUAACAUAAAUUAAAACCAUAUGAUGAUACUAAAAAAACUUCCAUGAUCGCCACAAUCAAUUUUGACAAUCUGAGUCAUAAUCUCCGCAUGCACACUUUAUAUUAUAUACUAGGCUAUUGUCUCAAAUGUUCAUAUAUGCUAUAUAGCCUUUUACACAUUGACGAAAAAUAUAAACACUUCAAAUUUUUUUAAUCUCUUUCGCACCGCAAUAUUUAUUAUUUUAUCAUGUGCCUUUACUAUACGUUCGUCAAAAUGGAAAUAUUCACAGAUCAAUAAAUUAACACGAUACUAAUAACCUGAUUACCUCGCAUAAAAGGAUAAAUUUACCAUUGCAAAUUUGUAUUCACCCCGCAUAAUUCCUGUAACGAAUGUGUGAUUAACGUUUCCAAAUAACAAAAUUUCGCCGAUCUUCAUGGCCUACAGCACUGGCUAUCGUUUCUGAUAUGAGUAAUUAAGCUGAUAUUUCUAGAAUGGUAGAGUUCAUUCUUUGACAACCGAAUAUUAGGUUUUAGGGAUUUUGUUCCCAUGUUGUCUAAGCAAGGGGGUCUCUGCAUUGGGAUUUCGUUCUGCUGAAUAUGGGGUAGGUUGCUGCUGGACUUUUUUACUGGGCCGCCAUUAAAAAAUCCAUAGAAUUCCUAUGCCUUAUAAACAUAGUGCAUGUUACUUUGUUAUUAUAAUGGGAUUAUACUAAUUUUCAUGUUAAAUAAUAUAUUUUAUUUGUGCUUAUUUUGCUUAGAUUGUAUUAGGGAAGUCAAUAUUUAAAUUUUGUCCUUAUUUCAGCUUACUCCUAACAUUCCCAUUUAAUAAGUGGGGAACUUCGGUGGAUGAGGUAGUGAAAAAGAAUAUUUAUUCAUAUUCAUUUCAUAGAUGACAAUAUUUAUCUUUGCUAACCUAAAUUUUAAUUAAUUUAUUAAUUAGUGAACAUUAUUUCUUUACUUCAGUUUAUUUAUUAUUUUCAAUUUUUAGUCUCAAUAAAUUUGCACUCUUUCUCCGAUAAAUUUAACUAUUUAUUAAAUUUUUACUAAAAUUGAUUAUAUUACAUUUAUUAAUUUCCUUUGUAAUAAAAAAAAAUUUAUUGCCGAUUAAUAAAAACAUUUAAUAAUAACUUAAAUAUCAACAUUAUUUGCUAACUUUUUUAUAAAUUUAAAAAUAUAUAUAAUUUAUGAUAAAAUGAAGUAAUUUGUUACUUUAUUUUAUUAAAUUAUGUUUUUUUAAAUAGUUACUUCCCAUUAAUGUAGCGUUUACAUUUUUUAUUGGAGUGAGAUUUCUAUAAUUACGAGUGUGGAUUGGCAUAAACAAUAGGUUGAUUACUUACAUUGAACUGGGAGUAUCCAAUUAUCUUGGAUUUGAAGUACAUGGUUAUAAAUUACAGUUGUACCCUUAUUUUAAGAAUUACAACUUGUAGAGUUUUUAUCAUUUCACAAAUUAACAAAUUGGAAAAUAUCAAAUGACUACAAGAAGUAUUGUCCUAUAUCAUUUUCCUACUAUAUCAUAACAAAAUAUCAUUUUACUACUUUUCCAUUACAAAACUAUCAAUUUACUACUUUUAUGUUACUUGACCAGUUUGUUGACCAACAAAUUACCAAUUUUACACUUCAUUAUUUACAAAAAUUACUUCAAGCUUAUUUAUAAAAGGGAAAUUUACAACCGUCCACCUGUUUGUUUUAUCUUUUUCAAAAAUACACAAACACUUUUUUUUUUCAGCGCGCCACCUGAAGUUUACUUUUUGUUGCAUUCUUCCACUUCCGUCUAAUUUCCGUUAGCAAAUUUAACGGAAUGACCUUUUUACCCCUCAAAAUUACAAUUUAACCCAAAAUAAAUAGAAAUUGGAGAUAAAUUGGAUGGAUUUAAUUUUUUUCAAAGGUGGAUGCUAGAAAUUGGAGGAAAAUAAUGUUUGUUGCUUGCUAAAUUUAGAAAAUUUGUAUUUAUUUUUUGGAGGAAAAUAGUGUUUCAAAAAAAUAAAUACAAAUUUUCUAAAUUUAGCAAGCAACAAACACUAUUUUCCUCCAAUUUCUAGCAUCACCUUUGAAAAAAAUUAAAUCCAUCCAAUUUAUCUCCAAUUUCCAUUUAUUUUGGGUUAAAUUGUAAUUUUGAAGGGUAAAAAAGUCAUUUCGUUAACAUUCCGUUAAAUCCACUAACAGAAAUUAGAAGGAAGUGGAAGAAUGCAACAAAAAGCAAACUUCAGGUGGCGCGCUGAAAAAAAAAGUGUUUGUAUAUUUUUGAAAAAGGCAAAACAAACAAGUGGACGAGUGUAAAUUUCCCUUUAUAAAAUUGACUCUUCCACUUUUAUUCUAAGUUUCAUUUCCAACAUUAGGAUAUCAAAAUGGAAUAAUUAAUUAGAUAAAUUUGUAUUCCAUAUUGAAAUAAUUCCAGUUACUUAGCAUUCUGUUGGAUUAUUAUUUAAUUUUAUAAAUGUCACUAAUUUGUCUUAUUAAUUAAUCCAUUUUUUUUUAUCUUUUUCUUGGAAAUUAAACUUGGAAUAAAUGUGGAAGAGUUGGUUUUGUAAUUAAGCUUCAAGUAAAAUUUUUUCGUUAAGGGUAAAAUUGGUAGUUUGUUAGUCAUCUAACUGGUUAACUUACGGUUGUAACGGAAAUGUUGUACAAUGGAGAGCCUCUAAAUUAUAAUCAUUGUCACUUACUCCUCUCAUGUGAACCACAAAAAAUUGUGGGACCCACAAUUUGUGUGGUUUACCUGAGAGGUAUAGGUUACAUUCAUUGUAACUUAGCAUUUGCCAAGGGCAAAGCUUAUGUUACAAACAAUCAAUAAAUAUAGGUAAUUGAUUUUGACAUUUCUUAAAUCCUAUGGAUGAGAACUAUUUUAACGUAAAACUAAGUUUAGGUGUGAUAGUAAUUUCUGAAAUAUUUUAUUUUUCAUCACAUAUUUACUUGUUUUGAAAUAAGUCCUCAUUGAUUUUGUAUAAUUAAAUAGUUUUGUUGUCCAUCUCUUCUACAUCUAUUUAUAAACUUUAUAAAGUUUUUACCAUAUUUUUAAAAAUAUCUCACUGAUUAUGAUAUUCAUAAAUAUUCUACAAUUUUGAAUGUAUUUUUGCACCUGUAUUUAUAAUUUUUUGUCUCUCUUCAGAUAUAGAAAAUUUUUUUCUUCUAAUGCACACACACAUAUAUUCAAUCUAUUUUUUCAUCCUAAAAGCAUACCAUCAAUUUUGUCACAUAGAUUUUGUAAUCUACAUUUAGUAUCCUAAAUUGUAAGAGAUAUUAAAUGCGAUAAAUAUGUUAUGAAUUUAAUAAAUUAUUACAAAGAUGGUACAUUGAGUUAAUUGCUAGAACCUAUAAUAAUUUCACAUAACAUAAAAAUCAAUAAAUAUGGAGAAAUUAUCGAUUUUAUUGAAUGUCACUAUAUUUAUUUAAUAAAUCAAGAUUUGCAGGCUGCGAUGGAUGAACUACCUGAGGUUAGAUAUAAAACAUGGGAACUAUGCCAAGGAAGAAGAAACCAAAAGGAAAUGACUACACCAAGGAAGAACUACACAAUUAUUGAAACGACUACGUUUCAUGGAAGCAAAAAGGCAAAAAAAAAAAAAAAAGAAACCAAAACGGCGUCAUUUUGGUUUAAUUCGGGUUUGACCUGGGGAAAGUAACAUUUUCCAUAAUUAUUGUAAGUUCCAUAUGACCACAGUGGCCACUUAUACAUCAAUUAUUUCAUGUUUCAAAUAUUUGUUCAAACAUUUCACAAUAGUUAUUUGUGUUUGUAUGUUAUAUUUAAAAUUAGGAAAUGAGGUAGAGCGAGAGCACACAUCAUGAUUGUAUUUUUUUUACCAAACUUUGUUUUCCGAAUCAAUCUUCACUUCGAAUAUGGGGGCAGAGACUAUUUGCAUCGAAAUAAAUUUAUUUCCAGUAUGUCUGCAACUUUGUGCUGGAUAAGCGAUUAUAUAUAAAUGUUAUGUUGCUACAUUGCAAAUUUCUUAAUUUAGUUUCCGCAUAUCACUCAUUAUACAGAUGCUAAGGGCUGUG
RNAcentral lists this long non-coding RNA (63611 nucleotides) under Citrus maxima (pomelo). Its description in RNAcentral is "long non-coding RNA (CMAX_LNC004179)". The record is from RNAcentral. Lineage: Eukaryota; Viridiplantae; Streptophyta; Magnoliopsida; Sapindales; Rutaceae.